This 48701-nucleotide long non-coding RNA is filed under the name Panax ginseng (ginseng). RNAcentral's name for it is "long non-coding RNA (PGIN_LNC010142)". The stretch from base 8276 to 8398 matches the Rfam family "MIR6135 microRNA precursor family". Lineage: Eukaryota; Viridiplantae; Streptophyta; Magnoliopsida; Apiales; Araliaceae. The record is from RNAcentral.
AUAAAUACCUUCUUCUCCCCAUCAUCUCCCCCCAAACCCAUUCUUUCUCCUACCCCAUCUAUUUUAUUCUCAUCCCAUAAGAAUAUAUCACCUUCAUAAUGGCUUCUAAUUACACUUUUGCCUCUAGAUCUUCUGUUCCACUUUUACUCUUCUUCUUCCUCCUUGCCGUCAUUUUCGAACCCACCAUUGCUUCUUCAAGAAAACUCACGGCUUUAGUACAAGAACAGCCGCUCACAAUGAAAUACCAUAACGGUGCACUUUUAAAGGGCAACAUCACCGUUAAUCUCAUCUGGUACGGAAACUUCAGCCCAAUCCAACGCUCCAUAAUCAUCGACUACCUCCUGUCCCUCAACUCCCGCCUGGCCCCACUUCCCUCCGUCGCAUCAUGGUGGAAAACUACCGAGAAUUACCACGGAGGCUCAUCCACCCUCGUCCUAGGAAAGCAAAUCCUCGACGACAAAUACUCUCUCGGCAAGUCCCUCGAGACUUCUCAUAUUAUACUUCUGGCCUCAAAACUUGGUUACGUGCGCUCCGUGAACAUAGUCUUGACGGCUAAGGAUGUCGCCGUUGACGGGUUCUGCCGGAGCCGGUGUGGAACCCACGGGUCAAUCCGGGGGAAUACCCGGUUUGCGUACGCUUGGGUUGGGAACUCCGAGACCCAGUGUCCGGGUCAGUGUGCUUGGCCCUUCCACCAGCCCAUAUACGGCCCGCAGACCCCACCGUUAGUAGCACCCAACGGAGACGUUGGAGUUGACGGUAUGAUCAUCAACUUGGCCACUGUUUUGGCGGGAACCGUGACAAACCCUUUCAAUAACGGCUACUUCCAAGGGCCCGCAACGGCGCCGUUAGAGGCGGUAUCGGCCUGUACUGGGGUGUUCGGGUCGGGAGCGUACCCGGGUUAUCCGGGUAAUGUAAUGGUGGAUAAGAGCACGGGGGCGAGCUAUAAUGCGCAUGGGGCGCACGGGAGAAAGUACUUGCUUCCGGCGAUGUGGGACCCGAAAACAUCUGCCUGCUCCACACUGGUUUGAACCAUGGUUUGAGAGGAGAGAGAAAGUGAUGGCAUAUAUGUGUCCGUAGAUUCUUAUACAUACAUAGGGUAUUUUGGGAAGUAAUAUUGUAUUAGUACAUCCUCAAGUUUGUUGUUUUGUGUGAAGAAAUUUGUAAAUUGUGUUCCUUUGAUGAAAAUGUAAAGUGUAUUCAAUAAAUACUCAUGCUUUUUAUACUAAACAGUCUAAACCUUGGAUCAUAGAUGUAAGAAACGGAUAUGAAGUUCAUUUUAGGGUAAAAUAAUUAAUUGAUUAAUAUAGUAUUAAUAUAUAGAAAGAAAUUAUUUUUUGAUUUACGUGUUAAUAAUGUAUUGAUUAAAGUUAAUUUUAUGUUAAUCCCUUGGUGAAAAACAAUUCACCAGUAGCCCCGAUCGAGCAGAAGUCUCGAGGGGACGACGUCGCUGCAUUAGCACUAGUAUGAUCGGCCUGUUAGGAUACCAACUUUUGAAUUUUGUAUUUCCUUUAUACUAAUAAAAUCAAGUUUUUGGCCUUAUAUUACAACAGGUGACACUAAAGAAAGACUUGGCGUUCAAGUGGUAAGUUGUAACCAAUUGAAACAAUAGGAAAAUAAUCUAAAAUUUUUACAAACUUCAGUUGAGUCCUUAAAUAUUUAUUGGGUUUUGAAAAUUAUUUUUGUAUACAUAUAUCAUUAUAUAUAUAUAUAUAUAUAUAUAUAUAUAUAUAUAAUUGGGACUGCCGAUCAUGAUAAUCGAUAUUAUGUGCAUAUUAUAAUAUGUCAAUAAAAAAUUUGGAGAGAUAUAAUUUUUAUUCCUCCAAUCCUAUAUAUCUAUAUUCACUUUUCAUUAAUAUAACUUUUUAUUACAUUAACUAGAAUAUUAAGAUAGUAUAUUGUUGUGAUGGAGGAUUUAAUAAUAAUAAUAAUAGAAUUGAAUGGGAGAAUCGUUUGGUCCAUGAAAUGUGGGUUCCUUCCAAUAAAUUAGACCUAUUCUUCUAUAACUAGCAGACUAAGACAUUACUAUACCAUUAUUUUCUUUUCUGGCAGCAGGUUUCUGACUUUAAGAUGCAAAAUCAAACACUCUUCCGAUUAAAUUGCAUUUGGUUUCCCGUGUAUAGUGUGUGCGUGGAGUAGAUGGAGUGGGCUUUUCCUAUGAUCAUUGAGUGACCCCGCAAGACAAGAUAUAUUAGUGGAAUAUUAUUUCGUUCCUAUUGCUGUGUCCAGUGAUGAAACCUGCUAAGUAUUUCCAUUCUUGUUAGUAGCGCUAAGUAAGUAUAAUAUUUUCUAUCAUAAUCAAUCGUAUGAGAUGCAUAUUAAACUAUUUAAGACAUUUUAAAGAUAAAUUUGAGAUAAUUAAUACUCCAUCCGUCCCGAUAUAAAAGUCUUUAUUACUAUUUUGGAUAGUCCCAUGUUAAAUGCUCACUUCCCUUUAAUAACCAAAUUUUUACACAUUUUUUCCUAUUAUGCUCGUAGCAUUAAAUAUUUCUUACUUUUCUUAUUCUAAUUCUCUCUCCAUAUUUAAUGACAUUAUUAUAAAUAAUUUUGUCAUUUUAUUCCUCGUCUUUAUCCUGGGAGGGAGUAUUACCUAAUCUUACAACUUUUUUCCUACCCUUGUGAAUUUACAAAUAAAUACCUACAUAUUUAUGUAUAUAUAAUUUGAUCCAAGUGUAAAUUAAUUAGAGGCCAAGCUAGAGACAGCUCACAUCAUAAUAAUUAAGUAUGUGGAAUGGAUGAGUGCGGUGGUGCAGGAGUUAUGUGACAUUUAUAUAUAAUGGUCAUGGUCCCAAAUUAAAUGACAUGAGUCCAAUGUACAUUGUAUAAAUUAGAAUCAUAUACUUUUUAUUUUAUGGAGUAGGGUAGUGAACUAGAACUAAAAAGGGAUAGGUACUACUAGUAUUAUGGAGUAUUAUUUUGGAAAUCAUCCUCCUCCAUUAUUUGUAGUGUUCGUGUGGCUUGACAAGUGCAUGACAUAGUUUUUUGUUGACCAUUUAUUAAAUUCUUGGUACAUGGUGCUGAUAAACAUCCUCACCCAACCUUAUCAACCCCACAAAUGAUUGACAAUUUAAUUAAUAGUAUCCAACUAUUGUAUUAUAAAUCUAUAUAUACAUGCAUCUCUCCCUAUCUCAUACCUGUUUUUCCCUUGACCAAGAAUUGGUUCAACCACAUUAUAUAUAUAUAUAUAUAUAUAUGAAAAAAAUUAUAGUUACACACUUCUGUAAAUUUUAAAUAUACACAAUUUACGAUCGUAGAGUUAAGUCACUGACUGAUAGUAAAGUAAUGACCCUAUUAUUGUAGAAACGUAGAGUGAAUCAUCGGAUAGUAGAGUGAAUGUACUCUACAAUCGUAAAGCAUAGUAGAGUGACUUAAAACUUUACGAUCGUAGACUGUGUACAUUUGGGAGUCUGCAUAGUUGUGUGGCUCUAUUAAACCCUAUAUAUAUUUGAGAUGAUUUUGGUUAAUAAAAGAAAAUAAUAUUGUCAGAUAAAAAUGAUGUUGGCAUAAUAAAUAAAUAUAUAUACCAAUAUUUUUACAUUUGUUCAAGCAAUACUUAAACACUUUUAGCCGUAUUUAUUAUCGUGUAAACAUCAUUUUUACUCUCACAAUAUUAACCAUCAUAAAUUUUAAAAUUUUCAAUUUUCAAAUAUCUAAUUAUCCAUUAAGUGAAAUUGAAUGAAAAGUUUAUUGAAUAAAGCUCAAGUUUAAGGAGAAAGUAUAUAUUUUUCUCUUUAUUUAAAAGAAAAAUAACAUCUAAUGUGACAUACUAGAUAGUAUUGUGAUAUACUAAUAAAAUUAAAAUGACAAAUUUAAAAAUAUUAUAUAUAUUUUAAUAAUGAAUAAUGAUAUUGUAUUAUAUUAUAUUACUAUAACAAAAUUAUGAUAAUAAACUUGAUUUAAAUUAUUUUAUUUUACAACUAAAAAUUAGAAUCUUUUUGUAGAAUAAAAAAAAUUGAGACAAAUUGAAACCAAAGAAGGAAGGAAAAAUUUAUAAAAUUCUCAAAAUAAAAUACCCAAAAAUACAUAUAUUAAUAAUAUGAGUAGCCUUCUUCAACUCUACACUAUUGCUUUUUAUUUGCUGUAAUAUUUUCUUUUUGUAAAAAAAAGUGUCGACUAAGUUAUAGAAUUAAGAAAAUGUAUAUUUUUACGUAUAAUUUUGCUAUUUUUAUAUGUAUUUUUUUAAAAUAAAAAUAAGACUCGUCCUACUUUCUUGUAAAAAAGUAUCCUUUGAAAAUUAUGUGAAAUCAAUCAUGAGUACUAAAUUGAUGUGGGAUAUUAGUUAUAUAUAAAGGACAAAUAAUAGCAGAACAAAAUAAUGGAGCAAAAUGUACGGACGUGGGACAAACCCAAGAAAAGCAUGCUCUGCUUAAGUUAAGCUUAUCCUCUGCUCUGCUUCAUUUUCAUUUGCAACUUGGCACAUAAAAUUGCCAUACUUUUGCCUUUUCUCUUUUUUCCAGAGGGGUCACACCAUAAUCAUCCUACUGUCUAAAACUAUGACACGUGUAUUUUAACUUAUAAAUAAUAUUACUAUCAUAUAAUAAUGAUCACAAAAUUCUGGUAUACACGUAUAUACAUAUUUAUGGGCCCUACAUGUCAGAUAUGACCCCACAAUAUGCAUAUGUGUUAUGUGAUAGUAGCAUUAUUGUUAACUUAUUAUUUAUUUACAGAAAUGAUGAUGAGACGAGACGAGACUGAGAGUAUUUGUAUUAAUUUAUGUGUGGUGAUGUUAUGUAUUAUAAUAAAUUUAUAUUAAAUUAUAAUUACAAAAUUUAUAAAUACACGAAAUCCAUAAAAAUUAUAGAGAGCUUCAAUUAUUAUAGGUUUUAAAAAAAAUAUUAAAUAAAUAAUUUUAUUUUGUACUGUACAUCAUUUUGCAAACAGUAGCGAUAGAGUGAGUAGUGUCAAUUUUCUUGCCGGCAAGCCAUAAAAUGUUGCUUUACGUCAUUUGGGUCGAUCUUUUUGGGACUCACAGCUAGCUAGCUAGCUCGUAAAGGAAAUCUACCCUUUUGGACGGAACCAACUAGUGGCUUUGUGGCCUAAUUUUGACCAAAUGGCUUAAAUAUAUGGGAUGUGCGGGAGUGAGGGGUGGUGGGGGGUGGGGGAGGUUCGAAAUUCGAAUCUGCUGCCGACGUUUACACACGUGAUUCAUGAUGGCAUGCCGAGGUGUGUGUCUAUUGAGGUGAUACAUUACUCCCUACUCNNNNNNNNNNNNNNNNNNNNNNNNNNNNNNNNNNNNNNNNNNNNNNNNNNNNNNNNNNNNNNNNNNNNNNNNNNNNNNNNNNNNNNNNNNNNNNNNNNNNCUACUCCAAUUAAAGGUAAAGGGAGAAAGACAAAAGAUCAUGAGAAGAGGAGAGAGAAUGUUAGACACCUCGAUCAGUUCUUAAUUAGUUGACAUUAAUUAAUUAUUAGUGUUUGAUUUUAAUCUACUUUCUUAUGUGUUAUUAUGAUUGAUUCACAACUUGGAAAACAAAAGUACAAGGAUGUGUGUCAAGUGGGAGUUUAUAAAUUAUAUGUACUUAAUUUCUAUGAACAAAAUACAGUUUCAAACAAGUUUAGUUUACCUUAAAAAAAAAGAGAUAAACCAGAGAUAUAAUCAUAAUUAGUGUUUUUAGUUAUCAUAUUAAGGUUACUCUCUUAUGCUUUUUUUAAAAAAAACUCGUAAAAUUGCAAUUAAAUAAUUUUAAGAGUAUAUUUCAAAACGAGUAAUUCAACUAAAAAACGAGUCGAGUUGAGUCAAACUCAAGUACAAUAAAGCGAGUCGAACUCGAAUCUGAACAAAGAUUACAAAGUUAUAUUCGAAUUCGAGUACGAAUCGGAAUACUUUCAAAAAAUUCCAAUAAAAUUUGUAUAAAGUACUGUUCGACUCAACUUUAGAUCAUUUUCAGCUCUACCGAACAGGGGCAGAGCCACACUUGGGUUGUGGUGGCGCGGUAGCCCUAGUGAAUCUGACGCAAACAACCCCCAUUCGCUCCUACAUCCGCAAUGCUAAGGCCAUGGCGGCGACACCCGCCGACGUGAAGCGGCGAAGGAGUACCACUAAUCACUUCUUCAUCUGAUGAAUGGAGAGAAAGAGAGAGAGAGAGAGAGAGAGAGAGAGAGAGAGAUAGUCUAUGAGCUUAUGCAUAAAAUAUUCUCACACUACUAAAUUACUUUGUUUUCUCUCCAUAAACAAAGAAUUAGCCUAAACUUUUUAGAAACUGAAAUUGAAGAAGAAUAAUUCUCUACGAAUUAAGGUUAGCAAACUGAAUUGGAGAAUGAAUUGGAGCAAGGAAUUGUCACGAGAAGGAAGUAAAAACAAAUUUGAAGCAAGAAUGCAAGGGAUCGCAUCAAUUAAACUUCAAAUUGAGAGGUAAGCCAUGUGUUUUUGUAAGUUCAUAGAAAUUGAAAGUAUACAUAUGAUUGUUGAUAUAAUUGCUAUGCAUGGGUUGUGAAUUAAUGUAAGGGGAGUAUUGUGAAUUAAUGUAAGGGGAGUAUUGUUUAUGUUAUAUGGAGUAAUAAGGAAGGAUUCCAUGAAUUUUUUUGGUUAGAACCCUUCUAAAAUCUUGUGAAAUUCUGGAAUCUAAGUGUUGUAGGCAUGGUGUUUGAAAAUUUACCUCAAAGAGGUUAAAAUGUGUAAAAUUGAGAAUUAGCCAAUGUUCUAGGCUAGGAAGUAUGCAUAUAUGUAUUAGAAGAUAACCUAAUUUAUUUGUUAUGCAAAGAUCCUCUUUGAUCUAUCUUUCGGUAGUCCAGGACGAAAAAAAAUUAUGGCUCCGCCGUUGCUACCAAAAGUUAUCAUAUUUGGUCGAAGAAUAAUCUUACUUUACUUUAACAAUUAGAAAUCGAUAAAUCAAAUAAGAACAAUUAAAUUAAAGUUAUAAUAUAACCAAAUAAUAUAACAAUUAAAAUAAAUUUAAAAAUAUUAUGUCAUUUAUUAACAUAUAAGUAAAUAAUAUAACUAUUUUUUUUUAUUUUUUUUUCAGAAAUUGUGAGAGAAAUGGUAAUGAGCACGGCCCCCAUCUCGUCCUGGUAAUUGGUAAAGGGAGAAAAAUCUAGUAAGGUAUGUCGGUCAGCUGGUGGGCUAUGUGGAGUGGGACGGAAAGUGAAAGUGGGUAUAUUUCAAGGAUCCCCAACCUCACAACUUCUUUCUUUAUUCGUUGUACACACCUAUAUAAAUUAGGGUAUAUAUAUAUAUAUAUAUAUAUAUAUAUAUAUAUAUAUAUAUAUAUAUAUAUGUAUAUAUAUAUAUUAAAAAAGGCCCGACCCUAACCCUAAGAGCUAAGAUUAGAGACCUGGGUCAGAGUUGGGGUCCAAAAUAAAGGUUUAUUCCCGACCCGACCCAACCACGACGGCCAUCUUNNNNNNNNNNNNNNNNNNNNNNNNNNNNNNNNNNNNNNNNNNNNNNNNNNNNNNNNNNNNNNNNNNNNNNNNNNNNNNNNNNNNNNNNNNNNNNNNNNNNUUGAUAUUUUUACACGCAAAGUGUCUCUGUAGAUGUUAAAAUCGUCGCUAUAUAAUCUAUAGCGACACUUUUCGUGUGAAAAUAUCAAAAACUGUUGUGAAAAUAUCAUUUAUCUUUUAAAAAUAUUGUAUCAUUCCAAACAAUUUAAACUAUAAUAAAAAAUUGAAAAAUAAAUUUUUAUUGGAAACUUUUUUUUACAAUAAGUUUUUGGGUCAUAAGGAGUACUAAACUAUUAUAAUAUAUAUGUGGAAUGUAUGUUAUUUAAUAGAUGUAUGCUAUUUAAGAGAUAUAUAUUUUAGAUCCGUUUUAUAUUUAUAUAUGGGAAAAAUAUAUAUACACAGCUGUGUAAUACACAGACGUUUAUGACAAUGAUUUUUUAAAACUAUAGAUAUUAUGGUCUAUGACGUCGAUUCAUAGCUCAAAAAAUCGUCGCCAUAACGACUAUAUAUAUAAAUGGAAAGUGGUUAGCAUGAAGUUAACUUUGGUCAAUUGAUCCGAUACACAGACGAAAAGUGAUCUAUAUUUGCGUGUCAGCACUGUAUUGAUUAAUUGACUAAUUUACUACUACCUCCAUCCCAUAAUAAGUGAUUUUUUAGCUUAAAUCACACAUACCAAUACACAAGCUAAAAUGACAAAAAUACCCUUAAUAUAUUUUCUUUGAAGUUGAAGAGUUAAUGAGUGUCAUUUAAUUGUAGUGAUAGUAAGAUGCAAUAAAUACCAUUGAAUGCAUAAGGGCAUAUAUGAGAAAAUAUUACAAAAAUUAUAUUGAAAUUCUAACACAUAACUUAUUUUGGAAAAAGAUAUUAAGCUUUAAAAAGCACUUAUUUUACGGAUCCGGUUAACAUGAAGUAAUUUUUUUUGAUAAGUUGGUCAAUUGACCAAUAGAAUACUGACACACAUACAACCUCACCUGCGUGUCAGUAUUCUAUUAGUCAAUUGACCAACUUACCCCAAAAUUAACUUCAUACUAACCAUUUCCUUAUUUUUACCAUCCCUUCCCCAGUUAUGUACUCUGUAUACAAAUGUAUCCAUUCCCCAGUUAUACCCUUAUUUUAUCCACUUGCACACCAACUCACUUGUUUUUCACUACAUCAAUGCUUUCAUAUUUUCUCCACAUUUAACAUCAUCCACCAUAAUAGUUGGGCAUGUCCCAAUAGUAUGUAUCAAAAGUUAUUUCUUAUCAUUCGCUUAAACUAUCACUAAUCAUAUUUUAUUUAACGUCAAAAUAAAUUGAAAUGAAAUAAAAAAAAAUAAACAAGUCGAUAAACUUAAUAUAAAUAUUGAAAAACCAAUCUUCACUCGUGAACAUCAUUUGGAUUGAGGCACAAGUCCAUGUCACCAUCAAAACUCCAGAAACCUUACGGGUAGACCACCCACGUCACCCGCUGAAACUUCCAGCCUGGCAAGCCCUUCCCCACCCAACCACCUCCUCCCACGUGUGCUGACUCCCUCUCCCCUUCUUCUACAGCUGUUACCUCUCACUCAUUUCCCAUUUUUCCCCCACUAUAAAAACCCUAUUUGCCCCCACUCAUCUUCCCCAAACCAUUCUCUCUCCUCCCUCUCAAUUUCAUAACAAUGGCUUCUAAUUACAGUUUUGCCGCUCUCUUUUCAAGUCUGCUUCUUUUCACCACCAUUUUCGGACCCACCAUCGCUUCUUCCAGAAAACUCACGGCUUUAGUUCAAGAACAACCGCUGACAAUGAAGUACCAUAACGGUGCACUUCUCAAAGGCAACAUCACCGUUAAUCUCAUCUGGUACGGAAAGUUCACCCCAAUUCAACGCUCCAUAAUCGUUGACUACCUCCAGUCCAACUCCUUCCGCCGGGCCCCACUUCCCUCCGUCGCGUCAUGGUGGAAAACCACCGAGAAAUACCAUGGAGGCACAUCCACCCUCGUUGUAGGGAAGCAAAUCCUCGACGAAAACUAUUCUCUAGGCAAGUCCCUCAAGAAUUCUCAUAUUAUACUUCUGGCCUCCAAAGCCGACCACGUGAGCUCCGUCAAUAUAGUCUUGACGGCCAAAGACGUUGCCGUUGACGGGUUUUGUAUGAACCGGUGUGGAACCCACGGGUCAACCAGGGGGAACACCCGGUUUGCUUAUGCUUGGGUUGGAAACUCGGAGACCCUGUGUCCCGGUCAGUGCGCUUGGCCGUUCCACCAGCCGAUUUACGGCCCACAGAACCCGCCUUUAGUCGCACCUAACGGAGACGUCGGAGUUGACGGAAUGAUCAUCAACUUGGCCACCGUUUUGGCGGGAGCCGUGACGAAUCCGUUCAACAACGGGUACUUCCAGGGACCGGCGACGGCGCCGUUGGAGGCCGUUUCUGCCUGUACUGGGGUAUUCGGGUCAGGAUCGUAUCCGGGCUAUCCGGGAAAUGUGUUGGUGGAUAAGGCCACCGGGGCGAGCUAUAAUGCGUACGGAGCGAACGGGAGGAAAUACUUGCUUCCGGCCAUGUGGGACCCGAAAACGUCAACAUGCUCAACGCUGGUCUGAAGGUGGAGGAGGAAGAGGAGAGGGAAGGGGAUUUUGUUGGAUGUAUACGUAUAAGUCUAUAGAUAGAGUGGUGUUUGGAUAGAGUUCUGUUGUGGGGCCGAGCAAUGGUUCAAUCCAGAGUUUGUCGUUUUGUGUGACAUGGAAAUUCCACUUGGGAAGUCCAAAUAUUGGGAGAAAAAAAAAGUAGUAUAUUAUGAGAAGGAUAAAUAAUAGUCGUAUAUAUUUUGUAGAAACUGUUUGAAUUUAUAAAAUUAUUACUAGUACUACUUUUACUACUACUAUUAAUUCGUCCGAGAGUAAUGCUACACGGACAGCUUUAUUGGUUAUUUUCAUUUUUUUUUUUUNNNNNNNNNNNNNNNNNNNNNNNNNNNNNNNNNNNNNNNNNNNNNNNNNNNNNNNNNNNNNNNNNNNNNNNNNNNNNNNNNNNNNNNNNNNNNNNNNNNNGGCUUGUUAACUAUCAAAAUUAUGUAUAGUAUUUAUUCUAAUAGGAAUUUUUAUAAAAUAUAGUGUUUUAGGUAUAAUUUGGAUACAUAUAUAAAUACAUGGUUAUACAGAUUGUAUAACUUUGUAUUUAUAUAUGUAUUCAAAUUAUACCUAAAACACUAUAUUUUAUAAAAAAAUUUAUUAAAAUAAAUAUUAUAUAUUUUUUGAAAAUCACAAUAAAAAAAAUAAAAAAUAAAAAAAUUAGACCGAUCCAAUUUUUCGGCCUUAAUUUCCUGUCCGGCUAGACUUAUUCUUCCUCCAAAUUUCGUUCAUAAUUUUUGAAAUUUUAUCAAAAAAUUGUACCAAUCUGAACAAUUAAAAUUGGAUCAACAGUUUUAGUGUAUGGGGUAGUCUUAGCAAAGUUGAAAAUUUGAAUUUACAGUUUGAAUUUAGUUAUUGGUCAAAAUUGCAGGUAUAAAAUUGAAAUCGCAGCAUGUAUUUUUUGAGGCUUUUUUUAAUCUAAAUUAUUAACAAGAAUGAGGUUUUGUUACAUAAAAUUGAUAUUUUUUCUUAUAUUAUUAGAAAAUUAUUAAAUUCAUGUCAGAAAAUAUUAUUUUACAACAAAAGUAUCAUAAAAGAUUCUAUAACGAAGAUUUUUACUGUCGUUAUAUUUUUGUUAUGAAAAUAACAAAAAGUAUUGUGUAUUUAAUAAUUUUCUAUUAUUAUCAUCAUUUCAUUAAUCUCACUGUACGUUGAUUUUUCUGGAUAUUUCUUUUUCAUACACAUUCAAAAAAAAUUUUUUGCCAUUUACAACACAGAAGAAAAAUAAAAAAAAUUGAUAAAACAAUAUAAAAUUAUAAAAUUGAAUUAAUUUUGUAUUAUAAACUAUGAAUCAAUCUUUUAAUGCAUUUUUCUUAUUUAUUUUCUCGAUGAAUAAUGAUAAACAAGUCAAAUAAUCUAUAUUUCAUUCAAGUAUUUAAUUUUUUUUAUUCCACAAAUUUUCUUGUAUGUAAGCUCUUCAAAUAUUUCUCUUAUAUAAAAGAUUAUGAUUAAUUAUUUAAUUUUCGAGCAACUGUAAUGAUAUUUUUAGAAGUAGAUUAAUUCAAUUAAUUUUGAAACUGAAACCGCACCAAUCACAAGUGAUUUCAUUUAUAAUUUUGAAUUUAUCAAAAUACACCUAAACAAUUUCAUGUGUUGUUAGAAUUUUAAACCGCACCAAACUCGCUCUUAAUUUUAUAGCCUUACUUGAGAGUCAAAAUUAAGGUCAGACUGUAAUAAUGUAGGUGGGGUGGGGUCAUCUAUGAGUUUGAAUCAAAAUCACACGGACAGUGAUUUGAUUUUUGUGUUUCAAAUGUUUUGCAUGCAAGUAAAAAGUCAAAAUAAAUGUAUAGAAUUCAAAAAAUAAAAUAAAAUACUCCUUCCGUUCUUUAAUAUAGAUAGUCUUAGACAUGUGCACAAGAAUUAAAGAAUUGAUUGAAAAAUAUUAAUUAUAAUAUCAAUUGUUUAUAAUAUUCUUCACCUCACUUAUCUCAUAAAUAUGGAUCAAAAGAUUAGGUGGAGUAAUAAGGGAUAAUUUGGGAAAAAUAGUAAUCAAUUCUCCUAAAUAACCACAAACGACAAAUAAUUAAGAAUAUAAAAAAAAGUCUAAAACGACUUACAUAUAAAAAUGGAGGGAGUAAUAUAGUAAUCUUUUCCAACAUUAAAAUUGGGGAAGGGAUGGAAUUAAUACCAUCAUCAUCUAUUGUUUGUAAGGUCGGUUAAAAUAUUGUGGACUAGGAGGAGUCUCUUUUUGUUUUGUUUGUAUGUGUGUCAUCUUUUGGUAUACUACGAGUAAUGCUGCUGCUGCUGCUGCUGGGGUGCAGACCAUUAUAUUAUAGUAGCAACUAUUAACUAUAGUCUAUAGCUAUAGUGAGAUUCUACCUUAUCAACAAUACUUUUAUGGCCGAAUAGUACUUCUGUCAUUUUAAAUUAUUACUUAUUUUUAAAAUCGUUUUUAAAAUUUAUUUUUUAUCAGUUAAAUUUUUAAAAUGACAUUUUAUUAGAGUUUUCGUUCCUCCCAUCCGAUUCCACCUCAAAUCGAUCCAUUUUGACCAAAUAUUAAUUUUUAAAAUUUUAAAAUAUAAUAUUAUUGGGGUUGGGUCUGGUUGGGUCAAAAUGAGUCGGGUUGAGGUCAAAUCGGGUAGGAGGAAUGGAAACACCAAAAAAAUAUCACUUUAAGGACUUAAUUGACGGAAAAUGAACUUUAAAGACGACUUUGAAAAUGAGUGACAAAUUGAAGGGACAGAAGUAUCAUUCAACCAUACUUCUAUAAAAUAACCAAAAUAAAAAAUAAAAAAAUGUUAUGUUCCCAAUCUUUAGCUUGUGAUAAUUUUAUUCAAAUUCUCAAGGAAAACACAACAAUUGUUACAUUACAUUACAUGUCAUUGUUCAUAAUUUCUUAUAUUAUAAUUAAGAUGACAUGCACCAAAUGGGGGUUUCUUUUUCCCUAACAUUACUAUUAUAAUAAAAGUAACUUGAUUUUAUACUAUCAAUUACCAAGAGCAUAAACUUAAGAUUGUAAAUGAUCAAAUUAGGGCAAAGAUAUCCGAUGUUCAUCAAGUAUUAUUUUCUAUUAAGAAUGGAAACAUUAUUUGUCCCAUACAACUUAUUUGCCUAUUAUCAUACUACUAAUAUAUAAAAAGAAUAUAUAUAUAUAUAUAUAUAUAUAUAUAUAUAUAUAUAUAUAUAUAUAUAUAUAUAUAUAUAUAUAUAUAUUUAAUAGAAGAGUAUCUAUUAAUGCAUGCAUAACUGUGUAUUUCAAAUUGGGACUUGAUAGAAGUUUGUGUGCCGGCAACUUUCUCUUGUACGCAAGUUGUGCUGGCAUGUGAUAGAAUGGCAAGCAUUAAUUGCUAUGUAGAUGAANNNNNNNNNNNNNNNNNNNNNNNNNNNNNNNNNNNNNNNNNNNNNNNNNNNNNNNNNNNNNNNNNNNNNNNNNNNNNNNNNNNNNNNNNNNNNNNNNNNNACAAGGCCUUGCAUGAGAUGCACAAGUUGAGUUAAAAUAGUGGGGCAAUUUUAGUACACUUGAAAGCCAACUGUUUGCCACCCAUGCGUGUAACCUAUGUAUAUAUAUUAUGCCAGGUUAUGACGAAAGCAGAAUGCUAUAGGAUCUACCUUUUUGGCACUCACUUCUACCUUAUACCUGCUUAUUAUUAUCUCAAACAAUACCAUCCAGGAUAUUGAAACUAUACACAUCUCCUUGUACCAAAAGAAACAAGGCAUUAGCAAUCACAAAAUUCUAAUGUCAACCAUUUCAUUGUCAUCUAAAAGUCAAAAGACACUGUUAAAAGGUAGUCAGAAAAGUAUAUGGCAAAUAUAGCAAGCAUCAUACAAUUCCAAUCUAACCAGCUGAUUUUAGCAGCCAAAAGUCGAAAAUCCCUUCCUAAUCGGCCGAAAGAACCAUCUCUGAUGUUUCAGACAGACGAUAUUUAAGGACUCAGUAGUAGGGGUUGUAACGCACUGGCAUCCUGAAUCUGGGAAACUUCCUGCAAUACGCACAAAAGACAAAAAAUCAUUUACAAUCUGGCUCUCAUAAAGUAAAAGCAAAAGACCGUUUAGAGACUAAAGUUGAUAUGUAAUGAAUGUGUGCAACAGACAGUAAUGAAGCUUACCCAUAUCCAUAAGGAGAAAAGAAAGGAGGAGGCAUAUAUGCUCCCCUCGGGAAGCCCAUGUAGGGAUUGGAACGCCUUGGACGGAACUGCUUCAUCCCUGGUACAUUGGUCCGCUUAGCUGAUAUCUGAAAUGUUAUUAACAAAGUGUACUUGUUAAGGAGAAAAUAGAUUAGAAUGUUCAAAUGAAGUGUUCACCUUUUCGAAUUGCCAAUGUCUUUUGUACACUAUAUAAUGUGAUCAAUAGAAGAAGUAAAGAUUUUUUUGACCUUCAAUUGUCGGCCAUGAAGUUCAGAUUCAUUCAGAAGAAGAGCCUCCUGGACAGCUUCUGGUUCAACGAACUCCACGUAAGCAUAGCCCUUUGGUUGUCCAAUUUUGUUAGUCCGGAUAGUGACUCUAUUCACCGUCCCACAUGACUGAAAAUGCUGCUGGACUUCCUCAGGUGUACAUGAAUAGUCCACCUGUCAAACAAAUUUUAACACCUUAGAUUUUUUUGCCAAAAGACCAACAAAUAGAAUACAAUGAACUAAUCAAACUUUAUACUCCCUCCGUCUCAUGAUAAAAGUCCUUAUUACUAUUUUGGGUAGUCCCAUAUUAAAUGUCCAUUUUCCUUUAAUAACCAAACUUUUACACAUAUUUUCCUAUUAUACCCGUAGCAUUAAAUAUCUCAUACUUUUUUUAUUCUAAUUCUCUCUCCAUAUUUAAUGACAUUAUUAUGAACAAUUUUGUCAUUUUAUUCAUCUUCUUAAUAUGUGUGAAAAGUCCACCAAGACUUUUAUCCUGGGACGGGGAGGGAGUAACUCUUAAUAGAUAAAGCUGUAUAAAAGGGCCAACCCUAAAGUCAGAGCUUCAGUCCUCAUUUGGACCAAAACCCCAUUCAUGCUGGUAAAGUGCAGAUCAUACAUAAUAUUAAGGAAAUAAAAUUGAUUUCCUUUUAAAGUAUGCAUAAUAAACGAGGAAAAAGAACAAAGACCAAAUUUCCCCAGAGAAUGAACAGUUAUACCUAAAAUUACACAAGAAAACCAAAAACAAGCACAUCAAAAAUCCCAUAACAAAAUUAUAUUCUGAAUAUGGCUUCUGAGAUAUGAAUUACCGACCUAGUCCUGAAUGAUUACAGUAUACAAAAGCUGGAUUCUAGGAUAUAAUUAUUGUAACAGAAAGAAGAAAGGGUUGGAAAAUGCCAACAGGAUUUACAUCUUUAACAAAACAACAAAUAGAAUGCAUAUAGCUACUACUUACAUUCCCAUAACAAAUACAUGCAGCUGGAAAUAAAUUCAUGUUUUGCUCUCAAGUAUGAAACAAGUGCCCAACUAAGGGAGGAAGAAAGGGGAAAAACAAGUCCUAGGAUUCAAAAUGGAAAGCCAAAAAUGUCCAAGACUAGCUUCUUCAAGGGGCUAAUGAUCAAUCAAGGAAAUCUUAUGUCAUAUUUUGAGAAACUAUGGAUAACAAUUCGCCUGGUGGUUGAAACAAUAUUUAGAAAAUAAAAAGAAUUUUUUUAGAAUGCAAAAUCAGUUAAAGCCCUUUUCAACUAUGUUUAGACUUUAGACAUGAGAAGGAUUUCUCCAAGUAUUCGUUAUACCUGUUUCUCUGACAAUCAGAAAAGCUUCUUAAAGACCAACCAGAGCAAUCUCAAUGAAAGGAUACACAUGCUUUCUACACAUCAUCCCUCAUAAAUGAAUAUGUACUCAAAAGCUUAAACCCAGAAUAAAUUUUACUUAUAGGUUGUAUUCUGGAGUAACUAGUAAACAUCUUAUAAGAGCGGGAAAGCACUUUAGAACAGAAUUAGGCCUAACUUUCACCAAAUGUGUAAGAAUAGAGAAUCAGAGCAAGCAGUAAUGCGUAAAGUAAUUUAUUGAUCAGAAAGAAGGCAGAAGGAAAUAAUUAGAGAGAGAGAGAGACUGGGGUACAAUGACGUGAACUCAUUAUCCUAUAUAUUCUGACAAGUAAAACAAAGAAGAAUUAAAUUGAGAGAGAGAGAGAUCAAUGACCCCUCACCAUAAACAGCAUAGUAUCUAGACAUUCCCAGAGCAGUAACCACGACCAACAGCGCACUGAGGCAGCGCAAUCAAGACAAUGGCACCAUAGCCGAUGGUGCACUCUUCGUAUCACAUUACUCCACCCAACUGAGUUUGGAUAGAGAGAUCUUGAAUGCAUUCAGGUCCAAGAACUUGAGUUUCCUUGCAUUCAAAACUUUUCUGUUUCACUAAGCAAUUUUUGGCGUUUACUGUUUCUUUUCUUUUUUCUCCCACAUUUUUUUUUUCAAUUCUGAACAUUUCUUUUGAUCGUUCUCAAACAUUCUAGCCAAAGCUUUCUCUCAUUAUUUUAUUUUUCUUUUCCUAAUCUAUUUUGAAAGUAAUUCUUUCUUUCUUGAGGGGAUGCGUACAGCCUAUUUUACUCAAAAUCCUGCUUUAAUGUUUAUUUCUCUCCUUUUUUUUCUUUUUUUAAAACCAAUUCCAAGCAAUCAGCCUAAUUUUAUUUCUCUUUUAUCUCUAAAGAAGGAAUAUUUUUCCAUUAUUUCCCACAACCAACCCUAGGAAUCAGAGAACUUGGAGAACCAAGCAAGAUCCUGCGAUCGUCAUCAAACAUUAAGUCAAGAUCUCAGAAAUCAUUAAUAUGAACUCAAAAUGACAACAUCAAUACACAAAAGAACCAAAGAGCUGGAGACAUACAUAAAAUAAGAGAAAAAUAUUGUACUUUAAAUUUUGCACAGAAUGCAAAAUGUCCAAAGCCGUGAACAACAAAUUAUACCACAAAUUAAUCAGGUAAUAAGGUAAUGUACAAUAUAUCUCUAGAAUUCUAGAAAAAUGAAUUGAUCAUAUAAAGCUUUUAGCUCUCGAGAGUUUCAACUACUUAACAACAAACUCUACCUCUCUCUCUCCCACACACACACAGAGCUGAACUCAUGCACUCCAGAAUCAAUCGCAAACAGCAGGACCACAACCUAUGGUCCUUACCGAAUCAUCACAACCAAAAGAGUUGAAUAACCUAUUGAAUCAUGUCUUCCACUAUAAGUAAUACCAACUGAAAGUUAUUUAUUUCAAAUUAAAAUAGAUGUAUAUUAAACUAUAUCAUCACCCUCUCUUAACAAUAUCCUAUCUUACCUUUUUAGAUUUCUCCUAGGAAGCAUGGAUUAGGGUGCCAGGACUCAGGUUCGCCAUAUGGGGAUUAGACAGUUUCAGCAUAUCUAAAAAAUUGUAGAUUUGGGGAUUCAACUGUUAGGCAUAUCUAAAAAAUUGUAGAUUCAGCGAUUCGCCACAUAUAUAAAUAUUCAAUAAAUUUAUUUAGAAAUGAAGAAUUGAUUAUUCAAUCCAUAACUGCAGGUAGUAGUAAUGGUGGUUCAAUUGGUCACAAAGGUGCUAAUCAAGAAUCAAGUCACAGGCUUUCCCUCACUUAAUAGCACAAUACAUAGUUUUGUAAUCUUUGCUUUAAAUUUUCGAUUCAAAUACAAUUUUAAAGCAUGUUUUCAAUUUAUAUAAUAUAUAUAUAUAUAUAUAUAUAUAAAGAGAGAAUAUAGAUCACAUGUAUAUUAAAAGUUUAAUAAAAUUCAAGAAAAAAGUACGAACUUUCAAGAAUACCAAAUUUUAGUAUUAUUAAAAAAAUAUAUUACCAAUAUUACUUUAAUAAUUAUUUACAGUCACUGAUGAGUGGGUAAUUUACUCAAGAUUUAGGUAUUUCUAGACUUAAUAAUUUGCUUGUUUUAAAGUAUUUUAGGACAUAUUACUGUUUUAUUUUGUGUUUUGUAGGUUACUGCAGCUGAAAGGCAAAAUGGGAAUUUCUAGCAAGCUGAAGGGCAAAUAUUGUAAUUUGGGAACCCAAGUCAGCGCCGGGGCGCUCAACAAUGAAGGAAUCCUAGUGUCGGGGAGCUGGGAGGCAGACUUGGUUGCUCGGAUUUUGUGCUGGGAAAGGAAAGGAAAGGAAGGCAAAUUUCUAGUCAAUGAAAGAUUCUAAAAAAAAGUUGACCUAAUGGGAACAAAAAUCAAUAAAAGGGAAGGAGGCUACUCGUGGAAAGGAUAUGCGUACCCAGAAUUUGAGACAGAUGUUGAAGAUUGGACUUGAAGAUUGCAGAGCACACAAGGAUUUCAGAUUGGAGAUUGAAGAAUAGAGACAAUUACUGAGUUUUUAUUCUUCUCCAUUUGUAAUUUAAUUGUGUUGUUUUCCAUGGGAUUUUUUGUUUUAAUUUUCAGUAUGAACUAAUUUUCUAAUUAAGGCUACAAUUGAACCUUUUAUGCUUAUGAAUUGAUUAUCUAAAUUAAACCAAUUAUUUAUUCAAAUUGAGUUGUCUAUCAUAUUUGCGCUUAUUGAUUAAUUGUCUGACCAACGAUUACUGUGAUGCACUAGAUGAAUUCGGGAGAUGAAAUCUAGGGUUAGAUCUGAAUGUAAUAACAUGUAUUUUUACUUAUUUUCAUGAGAUGGAUAAUUAAGGGUAUGAAUUGAAUAGGGAUCUCUCUUUUCAUUGCAUGUAACUAUUGAGAAUUGGUACUUAACGAAUUUGAUUCUUUUGUUUUGCAUAGAAAUAUCGUAGAAUUAAUUGAAUUAAAUAGUUUUAUUUGAUCACUUGAAAAGAGACUUAUAAAUACUUUGAAUUCUUGUUUAUAACUCGAAUGAAUUUAAUAAUUGGAUGAAUUAUGUAAUUGAUUUAUAUGGUAUAAUUGGGAAUAUUGUAGUCUUAAGCCUUUCUCAUCUGAAUCAAUUCUUUGUGUUAAAUUUAGUUUUAAUUACUCUAGUUUAGUUUUUAAUUAAUCAUCACAAAAUUCGGUUGUUUAAAUAAAAUUGAAUUGAUACAAAACUAGUUGGAAUUUGUUAAAUAAGGGUUCUUGUGGGUUCGACACUCGAUUUUAUCACUUUAUUACUUGAUUGACCGUGUAUGCUUGCGCGUAUUUGUCAUUAUGAAAUCAGACAACAGUCACCAUGCGUAACCCUAUUUAAGAAGAUCAAAUAUGAAUAGGCUAUUAAAAUUAUAAACUAAAAAAGAAGAUAACAUCAGUAAUUUUGUUCUUCUUAAUUACACCCAAUAAUACUAUGAGGAAUACCAAAAAUAGUCUAAUACCCUAUUUUUCAAAAAAAUAUUUUAGUGAAGUAAAUACCAUAUUUUGAGGAAGAGGAAAGGAUACUAGAGUACCAAAAUUAAAUAAAUAUAUUAGUAAAACGUGUAACCUAUUUAAGAAGACCAAGUCCUAGUAGAAUAUUAAUAUUUAAAAAACCCGACCAUAUGGGUUCUCUUUUGCGGAAUAAGGAAGAAUACGACACAGGGAAAUGAGUUCACCAAUGAGAGAAGAAAAGGCGAGGAAAAGAGGAGAGAGAAGUACCUCAGAUCAUGGAGAGUCGUGCAUAAGAUCAUCGGGUUUCACUUUCCAGGUAUGAGAAUUUGUGAAAUUUCAGUUUUAAUUUAGAAUCAAAUUCUACCUUUCCCGAAUCUCUCGAACAAAUCCAAUGAGAAUCUAGACUAAAUGAAUCGUUGCUUUUGGUAAAGUUUCAGCACUUCUUUGUUGAGCGAAUCUCCAAAUUUUGGUAAAGAUUCAGCGUUUCUCUGUUGAGCGAAUCUCCGCAGCGAAUCCUGAAGAAUUCGAAUCCCCGACAAAUCCCUUCGUCAAUUCGUUGGGUGAUUGCCAAAUCCCUGCUUCUUAGAUUUUCUUUCAUCUCUAUACAACAUAUGAAUCGGUCUUAGAUCUACUAAUUAUUAUGGAUGGAAGUUCGAUUUUCAACGAAUUGAACCCGCUCUUAGCCUUGUCCAUCAUAAGCUUGUUAUAUUGCACCAAGUCAUUUAACAUUUUUUAUCUAUUUUGCAGAUGAAGAGCAACUCCUUGCUUGAUAGGGGACGAAAACGAUCGAAGCUCCAUUUUCUUGUUUGAAAAUUGGGUGGAGAAUCAGAAAAAGACAGCCUAUAAGGACAUUAUCAUUGGUAGUCUUGCUAGAAAAAAUCAGGAAGCCACACUCUCACAGCAAGGAGAGCACCAUUACUCCCUUUAUGCUUGAGAAGGAGAAAAGGAUGCAGCUGUUUUCUUUAAGAAACUCCAAUGGCUUUAAGAUUCGUAGGAGUAUUCUACAUUAACAUCGAGAGAUUGCCGGGGGCAGAUAUACUCUUACAGUUAAGUUAAUCUACUUACCACUCAAGUGUCGAAUAAAUAAAACUUAAACAAGAAGUCACUCAUCACUGUACAACAGAGGAAUGUGCCACAUAUAAUAUACAAAAUAAAGAAAAGAUUAAUAUUGCAACCAUAGAGUUAACAUGGAAAAAGCGGCCUCACAUUGCCAACAAACACUGAUCGAGAAUCUACUUCCUCCUUGUUUGCCUGAUUUACUGCAGCAGUAGCAGGAUCUGUUUGCAGAGAAAAUAAGUUGGGAUCAAGAAGUGAAGCAAUAUUUUUGCAGGUUCCUAUUAAUAAGCAUCACAAACAGUUACAAAAGGCAAGUAAAAUAAAAAAAGUUACAAAAAAAAUAAAAAUAAAAAAUUAGUCGCCACUUUCCCUGUCAUUCGCGAAUUCACAACAUCAUCUGGUUUAGACCAGAAAAACCAGAAUACUAUUAAGUGUAAACUUCUAAUUCUCAUACAACUCUGAUGCAUCAGCAAUUGAAAUCAUAUUAGGUAAAACUCAAACUGACACCAACAUCCUUAUUUUAGUUUAGACCAGUCAAGGAAGAGUUUGCACAAUGGGAUCAAGCACGUUGAAAGUUGACUCUCUACCAGGUUUUUGAAAUCAAAAACGCCAAAAUAUGAAGCAUAAGCUUUUCCCAGAGUUCAGGCAGACUAUUAAUUUUGCUAAAACUAACAACAAAGUUGCCUUGAUUUUCAGCCAUAAAACAUGGGAAAUUCAAACUUAAAUACAUUUUACAUCUAUCAUAUUCAAUUCAGUUUGAUAACCAAGAGUCUAAUACAGUCUAUUUACGAAGCCUCAAUAACCAAAUUAGGAUGCCCAACCCCCAGUACUAUACUUGCUUAUAGACAAACCAGAAGACGAGAGAAAAGAAAGAGCUAGAAGAACAAGGGAAAUCACCCUAAAGACGAGGGAUGAUCUGACUCAAAUUAAUGAUAGUACUAUAUACUCCCUCCAUCCCAUAUUAGACGUCCACUUUUCCUUUUUUGUCUGUCCCAAAUUAGUUGCCCCAUCUCUAAAUUUGUAUCAUUUUUGCUCAAAUUUUUCCUAGUAUACCCUCCACAAUUUCUAGAUACAUCUAAUUAGUUUAUGGGAAAGUGAAACCAUUAACAACUUGACCAUCUUGAAAAAAAUAAAAAGUUGACUAAAUGCUAAUGUUACUUAUGCGAACAUAAGUAAUUGAAGCAAUGAAAAUUGAAAUAUACUUAUAAAUUGAAUGAAAGAGAAUGAGUUGAUGAUGUUAAUUUAAUAGGGAUAUAUUAGAAAUAAAUUUAUUACCCUAAUCUGUGUGUCAUUUAAAGAAUGGGCGUUUAGUAUGGGGCGGAGGGAGUAAUAAGCUUGACUACAGACAAUGUUAUUGUUUUUAUAAGAUAAAGGUGGGGUAAAAAUUAUAAUUGUAUACUUUAACCAAAUAUGUUCCAUAUAAUUCUGGUGUAGGUUACAUCAUAGCUCUAUUUGUUUGCAGCGACUAUUUGGGGAUUGGUUUGUAAUCUUCUAAUGAGCCCCGUAUCUUUUUUGUACCAAAUUUUUACUCUGAAUUAUAAUUUUGGUAUAGAAUCUUACCCAAAAAAGAGGAAUUAUCCAAUACCUAUCUCCCCCAGUUUUUAUAUAAUCCUCUCACCAUAAUUCAUGAUACUAAAAAUCCUAAUAGACCUUGCAACCAAACAUCAACAUCCUUGACGAAAUUAUAGGCAAUCCUGAUUUUAAUCACAAUUUUCCCUUAAACUCUGUCUGAUGCUUUACAUUGAAAAUAAUAUUUUACAAUAGUAGAAUGUCCAUCCCUAUCAAUAAAGAAAUUAUCUCCUCAGAAAGGCUCGUAUGUAUGUUAAGAAUUUUGAGCCAGAGUACUGCAUUGUAUUGGCUAAAAUUGGACACAAACAUCACACACACGCAUAAUACACAGUAAAUUCAAUCAUUGAAACAAAUAAACCCUAAUGGGAAUAAAUAAUGCUAAAACAUGAUAUAUUCUUCUCAAAACCCUAAAAAAACGAAAAGACAAGAGGACCUUGUGCGGAACCACCCAUUUCCUUCUCGACUUUGGCCUGCAUUUCUCUAAGAGCUGCUGCUUCGUCUUCCAUCUGUUGCAGCCUCUUCUUCAUCUCAUCUAAUUCCUGCAUUUAAAAUUCAUAAAAUAAUUUAGCCUUUUCAUAUUAUUGAUUUUAAAUAAUGGAGGAACUAGAUCAAAGUAAAGAAAAAAUGUAUGAUUACAGUUCCAUUCUCUGUUCCGGCCAUGUCCAUGUCUCUAAUCUCUCUUUUCUCUCUCUCUCUCUCUCUCUCUAUAUAUAUAUGUUUUGUUCUGUGAAUCCAUAUAUAAAGAAAGCUCUUGAAUGUGGGCAUGGAUGACUUUGAACCUGUGGCCAAACAUGGCAUAUACCAUAUGUGACACAUCUAAUCAAAAAUUUAAAUAUGUUUGGAUUUUGGAAAUAAGAAAAUUCUAAAAUUUUGACAAAAAUUGUUAGUUUUUUAAAUCGUUUAUCACACUAAAUCAUAGUCCAACAUUGUUCUUGAUAAUUAUUUUUUUAAGUACAAAUAAUUAGCCAAGUUAAUUAAAAAUAAUAUAUCUUUAUUUUGACAUAUAUUUAUUUUUCUCUAUUUUUAAUCUCUUUUUAUUUUUUAAAGUUCUAAACAAAAAAGUUCAUCGUACUUUUUUAAUUUAAAAAAAAUGAUAAAAAGAGAUAAUAAUAUCAAUUUUUGAUUUACUUCCAUUGUUUGUGAGAUUUUUUAAAAGAAAGCACAUAUAACUUUGACCAUUUCUAGUCCAAAUUUUUUGUCAAAAAAAUAUUGAACAAAAAUUAAAAUUAUUUAAUAUAUCUUGUAUAUUUGCUAUAUUAUAAUAUUAGAAUAUAUUUAUGUAUUAUGAGAUUUUUAUGUAAAAAUUAUAAUUACGGUGUAUAUUAAUAAAUAAGAUCGAAUAGAAUUAUAAAAUUAAUUUAUUCAAUCUGAUAUAUCUUUAAAAUAUUAUUAUUUUUAAUUAUUAUAAAUUCACACAUUUUCUUUCAUGUGCAAAACGAAAACGCGACAAACCCAUCUCAGCUAUGAUAAAAAAACAGAAGAGGACAACGUGGGGCCCAGUCUGAUGACAAAUGCCACCAUAUUAUUGGACUUGAAACAUAGAGAUAAGAUUUCAUAAUCCAAAUCCAUGAACGAAAAUGUCUAACCAGCAAUUAGCAACAGAAAAUGUCUUACCAGUGCCAUCAUCCUCCAUCUUUUAGAGGGGGGAAAUACAUACACUGCGUGUGGUGGCCGGCCGGUUUAUAAAGGAGGCGGUGGCCACCAUGGCAGCCACAUUAUGCAACCUAAGCUCUGGCUCUGGUCUCAUGCAACUCAACCACCACCUUCAGAACAAGCAAAGCAUCACAAGGUAAUUAAGUUUUAGUUUCAAAAUUUAUGUGGAUUUUGGCUAUUACCCAUAAGUUUGAAUGUAUAGUUAAGAGUUCCAACACGUGUUACAAAAGUUAUUUGUCAAAUUAUAAUUGCUAAAUACAUUGUACUUAUAAAUUUGUAGUAUAUAUCAUUUCCCAUAUACAAUUUUUGGUUAGUUAAUGAUUUUUUUUGUAUAUUUUCACUAAUUAAUAAUGCCACUAUCAAGUUACUUUGUCUUAGAUUUUAUAUGAUUAUGCUUUGUCUAUGGACUACGAAUCUGCAUUUAUGAACAAAUUAUGAUAUAGAGAGAAUAAUGUUUGGGCUAAUUAACAUUUCACUAUCACUUCCAAUUACUUGCAAGUUGGCUGAAAUUGUGAUAAUAUGUAUUUGUAUCUGGUGUGAUUGAUGCUAGUUUAAUUUGUAGGUGUUAUUCAUUGGCCCCUUUGUUAGUUGCUGCUAAAAGAUCAUCUUGCUGCUGCAUCAGCAGUCAAAGAUGUAGCAAUAAGACUUGUGGAAGACAAAUUAAGGUGAAGGGACGGCACCAUUGGCGGAGGACCUCAUCCAAUAGUAGAGCAGAGCAUUCUGAUACUGUUUACAAAGAGGAAGAACAAGAGGAUAUAUCUAGACAAACCUUGAUAUGGAGGGCAAUCAAGUUACCCAUAUAUUCUGUUGCUUUGAUUCCUCUAACUGUAAGUCGAAGGCUUCUUUAAGCUUUCAAGUAGAUAUUGAUAUGUCAGUUGUUUUCAAAUUUGAAUAAGAAAAAAGUGAAAAGUCGUACAUAAGUGUACAUUGUUGUAAUCUCCAAUUAUUUACAUUGCGUAAAAUAUGAACCUGUAGAUAGCUUGAUCGGGUACAGUACCUGCGACUGAAGAGUAUAUGUGUGUUUAUGUAUUUGAACUAUAAAAUCAGCACAAAUGAUUUAAGUUUUCCAUCAUCACACAACAUAAGACAUGAAACUAUUAGGCAGAUUACAGACAUCUUAGAUCCACACAUCAAUAAGCCAAAAGAAAAGUUCCUACCCUUCACAAGUUUUUAUCCCAACACAUUGGCUCUAAAGCAUAAAGGAAAGUUAGUAAUGGUAUUCCAAGUAUACCUAGAAAUAACAGCUUUUUUCCAUGCCUCUACCCUUCCUUCAGUUGAACAGAGUUGCACAUCUCCGCAAGAACUUGAAAAAGUAAAUUCCUUUUUCUUUUUUAUUUUUGUUUGUUCACAUGUUUGUUAAUGGAUUCAAAUAUUAAACAAAGCUCACAUCUUCUUGCUAUAAGUCUUAAAACUGCAUAUUAAGUGUCUCGUUAUAUCUUCACCUUUUGCAAGCAGGUUGGAAGUGCAGCUGCCUAUUUUCUGACAGGCCUGUUUUCAACUAGGCGUUAUCUUGUGUUGUUGGCUUCUUCAGUUCUUAUAAUCACUUGGCUUAACUUAAGGUAAGUUACAGCAGUUUUACCAAUAAUUUACUAAUUCUAGUCGACUUAUCCUGCUGAAGCAGCUGUAAAAGUAACUGAUCCCCAUUAUUUAGAGACUGCAAGUAUGUUGUGUAAAAUGGAAGGUAUCUUACUUAGAGCAUGACAUUGUUGUCCGGAUGCACAAAUUAUCUGGAUUGCACAAGGUGAUUACUGAGUUCAUAUGUUACAGUGCAUGGUGAAAUCACACUCACAUAUAGGGUCACUAAAGGAUUGCUUCUGGUAUGUGACUUGCCCAGAAGACUCCCUAAUAGAUUGGACAAUGCUUCAAUGUGCCAGGUUUGUCCAACUUGGCGGAGCUGGAUAGGAAAGAAAAAAAUUGACUCUGUAAUACUGAAGUGGCUGUUCAGCAGAAUCGGGAUAGUCAUGGAUUUGUCUUCUGUCAAGUUCAUGUCUUAUUUGCUCUUUUCAUCUUUUACUAUGCUCUUUCAUUUCUCUCUAUUUCAUCUCAAGACCAGAGACAUCAUCACUUCAGUUAUGUAUCUUUUACUUCUUUUCUUUAAUGUGGAUUCAAAUCUGUAUAAUAUGGGCAGCAACGACGUUUAUGAUUUUGAUACAGGAGCAGAUGAAAACAAGAAAGAGUCUGUUGUUAACUUAGUUGGCAGGUGAGAACUGGUUUCCUCCCUUGAUUUUUUUGUCUCUGUGUUUUAGUUUUGCCUAGUGUGUGCGUGUUAUUUUUGUCAGUAGUGACAAAUACCUGAUGGUUAUUGUAUUGCAAAUUUGAAGCCGUACAAGAACCCUGAUUGCUGCUUACCUAUUACUAGUUCUUGGUUUCAUGGGACUUACUUGGGCAUCUGUGGAGGCUGGAAGUAUGCGAUCCGUGUUAUUACUGGCGUCUGCAAUUACUUGUGGUUACGUAUAUCAGGUACUAAAUACUUUUUUUACUGCUUGGUAAGAUUCUCAAAAUUCUGAAUUGAUCGACUUUGUUACUCAGCUCAAAACCAUAAGCAAACUAUUUGUAGCUUUUAGGACCACAUAUGGUGAAGUGGAAUUUUAGGUAAAUCACAUUUAAUUUGCAUUUAAUAUGUCAAGUAAUAAGAUUACUUGACAUAAUUUGUUGUCUUCUCCAUAGUGGAACGGUUUUAUGUUCCCCUCAGGAGCGGAUAACAUUUCUGGAAAGUUUGUUAGGAUAUCAAAUAUCUAGCUUAAUCAUACUCGCAAUAAUUGUGCCCUGAUGUUGUAUCUGUCAUGUUGGCGAUGGAGGAGGCAAAAUUUCAUGUUUUACUAUUUUGUUUUCAGUGCCCACCAUUUCGGUUAAGCUACCAAGGAUUAGGAGAACCCUUGUGCUUUGCAGCAUUUGGCCCUUUUGCUACUACUGCUUUUUAUCUAUUACAGAGUAGCGCAAGGUUUAAUUUUUAUGCUUUUUUGUCACUUUAGUAUCGGGAUUCAAAUUUGCAUACCUUCUUGAUACUGAUCUACGAUAAACAUAUGACAGUAAGCUUCCAAUAACUGGCACAAUCCUAUCUGCUUCAUUCCUUGUUGGCUUGACAACAACUGUUAUUCUCUUUUGCAGUCACUUUCAUCAGGUAAUCUUUCUCUCUCUAUCUUGUUAUCCCUCCAUCUCUUUUUAUAAUGUUAUUUACUUACUACCUGACAAAAAUGGUGGACAAUUCAGAUAAAUGAAGAUAGACCUGUUGGAAAAAUGUCUCCUUUGGUGAGUAAACUUCUAAAUCUUCAAAUCUAACAAAUAAAAUGAAUGAACAAAUAAAUCAUUCUUUAUUUCGUUAUUCAGGUUAGGCUUGGCACGAAAACCGGUUCAGAAAUAGUGAAAUUGGCAGUGAUAACACUCUAUUCACUUUUGUUUGCCUUUGGUCUUAGCAGGGUUCUUCCUUUUACUUCCAUUGUAAGUCGUGUUGAAUUCUAUAGUUUCUAAUUCUACUUUCACUUUCCUGUGAAGAAUAGUUUCAUCGCCUCCUCUUCUUUAUGCUGGAUAUCCAUUUUCUUAUCUAGUUCUCUAGACAUUGUUCUGAAAAUAUUAAUUGUUCUGUUUCAGUUUCUUUGUGCCCUUACAUUACCCGUGGGCAAACUGGUGGUUAGUUUUGUUAGGGAGAAUCACAAGGUCAGUAGCAAACUCGUUUAAGUUCUGCUCAAUUAAUGUACAAGCAAAACGUCAUUCGGGACCCCAAAAGUAGUAGAAAAUUUGAUACCCUGCUCGGGUAAUUGUUUGUUUACCAUAAAGUGCCACAAGUUUGGAGUGGAAAUCUUAACAGACUGAAUAACUUGUUACUCUAUACUUUGAAUGAGUUGUUACUCUAUAAUUUGUUCCUAUGAACAGAAUCGUUCCAUUACUAUAUUUUAUUCUUUAACCAUUAAAGUUGACGAAUCAAUGUGGGGCUGCACGGUCAUUGAAAAGUUUAAAAGGACUAUAAUAUUAGAGACCAUGUUAUUAGAAGAUCACAUGUUGUCUUUAUAGUACUUUCAUAUUUUGAAAUUAUGGUCUUGCAACUUUGUUUUUACAGGACAAAACAAAGAUUUUUAUGGCCAAGUAUUUCUGUGUGAGAUUGCAUGUGAUAUUUGGAGCUGCUUUGGCUGCUGGGCUGGUUGCUUCUAGAUUGAUCACAAGAAGACUAGUGGCUGUUAACCUCUGAGUAAGCUGUGUAGCAAAGUAUUAAAUGGAGAAUUUAAUUGACGAAAAUUAGGUAACCCUAAAAGAUCAAACAUUUAGUUUUAAUGUGUCCAAGUUGUUUGAUCUCGGAUCAUAUUUUCAUGUUACCGUUUAAGUAGAGUUCAUUUUGCAUUGCUGAUACCUCAGACUGCAAGCAAGGGUAAGGCAUGAACAUUCAAGAGUAUAUUUGGAAGCACCCAGUGAAGAACCAUAGACCUGGCAAACCGGCAGGGUUUUUAUGGAAUAGGUCAGGCUUAAAAAUGUCUGGUUCUUAAAUAAGUGCAUCUGCCGAGGGACUUUCAAGCUUUUCACCAGCAAGUCUCGCAGCCAAGUGGCAUUGACGCUCUUCAAUCUGGGUUUGAAAAAGUAUGUAUACUAGACUUGGUAGUGCCUCCAGUGAUUCGGGUUAUGCUGGGAAUUUAAUUUUUUUGGUGACAAAACAUGUAGAUAUACUCGAUUCCUUUUAGUUUGUAUAGUAGUAUUAUGUUCUUUACCAAAACAAUCCCAUAGCUCAACCACUUAAAAUAAUUAUUCCAAAAGCAUUUUUAGCAUACAUAAUAAACAAUAAAUUACAGGGGCAAAAUCAUAUAUUAUUAUCUAAUCCAAAGAGAGCAAAAAUCCUGGUUAUAAUUUAGCCAGAAGUUUUAGAACAAAUCGCCGAUGCAAAAUGGAUAUAAUGUUGAAACAUAAUACGCACCAAACAUAACCUAACAUCUAAAAUAGGGGAAAUCAAUCAAAAUUAUUAAAAUGAAUUAUGCUACCAAAACUUGACAUUUAGCGGCGGGAAGAUUGAAGCUUUCAUUGCAGUUCCACAAUUAUUUUAAGCAUCAGUUUAUGGCUUAGAAGCAGCAGCGAGUUUUGAUCUCCUUUUCGCCAGGCUCUCACUGCGCCGUUCCCUCUGCUCCUUCAAGCGUGUUGCAAGAAGUUUCUGAUAUUCGGCUGCCUCUGACUUGGCCUUGGCAAUUCUCUGAUUCUUCUCAGAAAUCCUAGCUCAGAAAUCCUAGCUCGUUUUCUUUGAAGAGUUAGUGGAGUUACAAGUCUCUGUAUCUUUGGAGCUUUACUGCUCUUCUUCCCUGUUAUAUCCACACACAUGUUAUUAAAUUAAUUGUAUACAAAAAAAAUAUGGCAUUAAUGAUUUAAGUGACUUGACAUACGAAAUAAUUGAAGCAUAUGCAAGCAUUACUUUAAAAACAAGAUGACUGUUGUAUAUUCAAACAAUUGGAAGAAGUACUGUAAUCAAGUGGGGAUUACUCCAACAUUAUAAUCUUACUGCCACUUGAGGCAGCAAUGUAGAAUACCAUGGUCAUAUGCUGAACCACUUCAUAUAUAAUUAAAUUUCCCCUUUCGGUUUCUACUUUUAUCUUAAAUUACAUAACUAGAUAUAAGAUUUCCUUACCAGAUUUUGUAGUAAAUGUUCGGCGGUAUGUAUUGACAUACUUCCGGACAUCAUCAUCCUUGGAAAGGUUAAAGAGCUUCCGAAUCUUUGAUGCCCUCUUUGGACCUCUCAUUCUGGGUUUCUCUGUGUCAGUCAAUCCAGGCAGAUCAUUAUCACCCUUCUUCACUAUAACCAAGUUCAGAACAGAGAGGUCUUGGCUAACAAUGCACCCGUGAACAGACUUCCUCCUCCGCUCUCCAUUUCGUCUUCCAUAACCACGAAAGCAUGGAGUGCCUUUGAAAAAAAAGCACAUGAAAUUAAUAACACCAAUUUUGACCUUUUGAAGUCGAUUCAAUACAUUUUCAAAUUCAAAACUGAUGUGAUUCAAAUUUAAAUUUUGAAACAACGAUUCUUGUAAUUAGUAGUAUGUAUAGACAGUUCACAAUAUUCAUUAAUUUUUGAAACAUAACUUAUCAAAAAUACAAAAUUAGUCAUGCAUUUUGCAAUACGGGUAGAUCUAAGAAAACUUAACCAAAAUGCAAAUAAAUUAAAUCAUCUGAUUAAUAUAUUCAGGGACUGGAAUCCAUGCAUGUCAAUUAAUUUAUUCAAAUUCAAAGAUUUUCAAGAUGUACAACUACAACCAAGGUGGCAGUACAAGUUUCUGCAUUGUUAACUCCUGUAAUUACUAAGGAUAUAAGUUUAUAUUUGGAUGUUAGAACAUCUCCCAAUUAACCAACCUCUAUGAAGCAAGAGACGAACACGACCAGGGGUCAGAACUCCCUGUUUCAUGGGGAAACCUUGCUUGUCGCAACCACCCAUUAUUUUGAAAACAUAUCCUUUGAACUCCUGUCAAACAAAAUAACCAAACCAUACACAAAUUAAUUACUUAUUAAAUCUUCCAAGCAAGUGAUUGAUAAGUAUACAAAACUAAAGUACAAAUCAUACCUCGCCCAAGGAAUCCCCACUGACCUCCUGAAAAAUCUUCUUAUCAAAGAACGCACGGCUGAAAUUUAAGGCAUUAGUUAGAAUAAAUACUUUUUGGACAUUAUAUGCACAUAUAUGAAAGUUGGAACCAGUUAAAAGUUAUGAAAGAUAAUGAAUAAAAGAAGUGAUAUUUCCACAUGAGUCUCUCACUUGCUCACUAUUCAUAUGAGAGGGAUAAUGUGGAAAUAUUAAUUUUUUGUGGAAAUAUAAAAAACCAAAAAACCACUAUCAAUUAUACUCAGUUAUUAGACCAAAAAAACAGUCGUAAUUUCCAUACAACAGGUGACCACUAGCAAUAUUUUUUAAAUGUGUUCUACUGAAAUCAAUUCAGACAUAUCAUACCCAUAUUCCCUCUUAUAAUUCGGAAAAAGUGGUCGAAACAUAGAAAUGAUUCAGGUUCAUAGAAAAUGGAGACUGAAGAAGCAAUUGGGACCUCAGAAUUUUAGUAAUAUUGAAAUUCCACCAUUCAUAUAUGGAAUGAAAUGCAACAAGUGAACUAUACAGAAAUUAACAUUUCAUUAUUAUUCACCAAUCAAAUGUAAAAUAAACGAAAAUUACUACAAGAAAGGGGAUAAUAAGAUCAUACAGCUUCUGAUCAUCAUCGAUCUCAAGCUUCUUCUGGCACCCAGUAGUUUGGAUUUGCAAUGUUGAACUACAAAACACAAACAAACAAUGGGCGAGUAUAUAUAUACAUAUAUAUGAAAAGGAAGAACAAAAUUGAUCUAUUUAUGAAUAUAACCAAAGGAUGAAAACCUUCAUGUUAGAUCAGCUCCUUCCGUUCAACCGUGCCAACUGUGUUUUCUGAGGGAAAAAUGGGUUAGGGUUUCAAAUUAGUGAAAUUUAUACCAAGUUUUUCGGGUCGGGGUUUUUAGUUUCGUCCUUCCUUUUUUAAUAUGGGCGGUAACCGAAUAUAUCAACCCAAUGGUUUUAUAUUGGGCCUAACAUAGUGGGAGUUUCUUUGAAAUUUAUGUUUUAGUUUAUAUAUUGUGAAAAAAUUUGGCGGAAUUACGUCGCAUAUGAUUAUAAAAUUAAUCUAUUAUAUUAAAUAUCUUUAAAAAAUAUUAUCAAUUAUAAUUAUUUAUGCUACUCUCAUAAUAAACAAAGUCCAUGUAAAAUUGUAAUAUAUAUCAUUUUCCUUCAUGUUUUUCUUUUGUUUACAUGUUUUAGGUACUAUUAACCAAGAAAUCAAAAAAAAAAUCUAUUUGUGAUGUCAUUAAAUCUGAAUAUGGUGAUUGGUGAAGGGAGUAAUGUCAAUUAAGACAUACCAAUAACACAUUUAAAUGUAAUAUUUUUGCAUAUAAAAUAUACUUUAUAUAUUAUUUUUGGAAAAUAUUUUUCAUGUCCUUUCUUUUUCUUUAUUUAAUAUUAAUAGUUGAUACAUUUGGUUAAAGUAGUAGUGUGUGACUGUGUUUUAUUAAACCUUUAACAAAUUAAAGAUUGCACAUAUAUAGUAUGAAUGUUAAUAAUUUUUUAUCAAUCUUUAUUUAUUGUUAUUAACUACCCUUAACUCCCAAAGUAUGUUAUAAGGUACACCUGACAGUCUAUUAAAAGAUACUAGAUCCAAUUAAUUAAUUUAUUAAAUAAACAGGAGUUAUUUACUCUUAUAUUUAUUUCCAUAACUGCAUUUAUGUACAUAUUAGCCUAUUUGUAAUCUUAAGAGUUAAUAAAAAACAAUAUAAUAACAGACCAUCUCCAUCUUCUAUUUCAAUCCGACUCUUAUGGUGUGAUUGAAAUGCCUUUCAAAGGAUUUACAUUUUUCAAAAUUGGAUUCUUAUUGAGUUUUCACAUUUUGUUUCAUGUUGGGUAUGGAAUUGAGGCUAUAUCAUACAACUACUCUGUAAGCAUAGAGGUAUAAACUCCUCCAUCACAUGCUCUUGUCAGUGAAAUAGAUUGUAUUAUACUCCCUCCAUUCUUAAAUAAGUGACGUUUUGGAUGAAAAAAUGUAUUCCAAAUUAUCUGUCGUUUACAACUUUCUAGGAGAAUAUAAUAUUUAUUUUCCUAUUAUACCUUUGCCUUCUCUCAUUGUCCCAAGAAAUUCUCACUCUUACUAUUAAUAGUUUUCAACUUCCCAUAAAGGGAUAGUGAUGAAAUUUCACACAGAUUUUAAUUAUUAAAUGACUUUUUUAAUCCAUGUGCAAAAACCUUAAACAACACUUAUUUAGGAAUGGAGGGAGUAUAGUCUCGCGGAUUAAGGCAAAUUUAAAUUACAGGGGUGUAAAAAGAAUUGUAAAUUUUUAUACAUGCAUGGCACAAUGAAGAUAAUUUUCAUAGUUUUAAAUUGUACUAAACAAACCAUAUAUAAUUAGUUUGGAUGCCAUGCAUGCCAUAAUAUGACUUGUGUCGUAGCAUUUUGUUAGUCUUGUCCAUUUUUGUCACCUUUGUCUUUUUCAGUGCCUAGCCUAUCCUCUUGCUCUUCAAUAUGAAGGAGGAGGAUUAGUGAUCAAUCCUGCAUUUUCCGAUGGCUUAAAAGGAUGGUAUGGUUAUGGAAAUGCAUACAUUGAGUUGAGAAACAUCGGGGGAAAUUCAUUUGGCAUAGCCUUCAACAGAAGUGUGCCAUAUCAUAGUGUAUCACAACCGAUAUUGUUGACACAAGGGAUUUAUUAUGCAUUUUCAGGUAAAUUUUUUGGUUGGGAAUUUAAAUAGAUCAUUUUUAACUAUAAUUUGAUUUAUUUUGAUUUAUUUUUCUAAGCUUGAGUGCAAAUCGAUAAAGGAAGUGAGGUUGUGGUAGCUUACUUGAGGAAUUCGCAGAACCUAACAAUGACAAUAGGAUCUGUCAUUGCUAAGUCUGGUUGUUGGUCUAUGAUUAAAGGAGGGGUUAGUCCUGAUCAAACAAUGCAAGCUAACCUCUAUUUUGAGGUAUACGUACUGUUCUUUAUUAAUUACUCUCUUUCUCGUUUCAUAAGAUUGUCAUCACUUUUGUGUUUUAUUUAGUUUCUUUUAAGAAUUAAUCUAACAAACUUGACAGAGUAUGAAUACUACAAUUGAAGUAUGGAUUGAUAACGUUUCUCUACAACCAUUUACAAAAGAGGAAUGGAGAAACCAACAAUCUGAAAGCACAAACAAGGUAAUUUUUGAAACUCUCGACACAAAAAACAUUAGCAUUGAGAAAUUAAUGAAAACGUACGUCUCGCAGAUAAGAAAGAGGAAUUUGAGGCUCAUUGUGUCUGACAAGGAUGGAAAUAACCUCCGAGGAAUAAAAAUCAGCAUUGAGCAAACACGAACACAUUUCCCAAUCGGCUGUGCCAUCACAGAGCAUAUAUUAUAUAGGAAACCUUAUGAAGAAUGGUUCACUCCGCGCUUCACUGCAACAAGUUUCGGGAACGAGAUGAAAUGGUACUACACAGAACGAGUUCAAGGUCAAGAGAAUUACACCAUCCCAGAUGCAAUGGUUGCCUUUGCUAAGCAACGUCGAGUUUCGGUGAGGGGUCACAAUAUUCUUUGGGAUAACCCCCUUAACAACUUACGAUGGGCCAGAGCUUUAUCUCCUCCAGAUCUUCUGAAUGCAGCUAUGAAAAGAACUCAUUCUGUGAUUUCAAAAUAUAAAGAUGAAGUUAUUGGGUGGGAUGUUGUGAACGAGAACAUGCAUUUCUCAUUUUUCGAAGAUAAAACUGGCCCAAAUGCCUCCGCAAUGUUCUACAAUGUUGCACACGCAUUAGAUCCCAACAAAACCAUGUUCUUGAAUGAGUACAAUACGUUAGAGGAACCUUCAGACAAGAAAGUAACCCCGUCCAAGUAUCUGCAAAAAAUCCAGGAAAUUAGAUCUUUUCCGGGGAAUGAAGACAUGGUGGUAGGGAUUGGACUACAAGCUCAUUUUCGUAAGCCAGAUAUUCCUUAUAUGCGCGCCUGCUUAGAUAUCUUGGGUGCAAGCAAAAUGCCGGUGUGGAUUACAGAAUUGGAUGUCGAAAAAAUUCCAAAUCAAGUGAGUUUGAAUUCAUGAAAAAUUAAAUCUCAAUAUAUAGACUAGCUACUAACAAUCAACAAUAUUUAAUAUUAAUUUGGUUGGUUGGUUUGUGAUAGACUGUUUACCUCGAAGAAAUUAUGAGAGAAGCAUAUUCACAUCCUGCCGUUGAAUGAAUUAUUUUGUUUGGUGCGUGGAACCCGGAAGGCUGCUACCGUAUGUGUUUAACAGAUGAUGUGACGCCCCCAAAAUAGGUAUACAACACCCAUUCUGAGUCGCCAAAAUACAUGGUAUAGAAAACAAACUACAACUUUGACAAUACAGAUGUCGUGUAGAAUACGACAAUACAACUGUGAGUUUGAAUACAAAUAUUGUCUUCUAGACAAUAUACACACCCAAAUAAGUCCUCAUUAAUUAUUCAUACACUAUUUUACAGAAAUAGUGAGGACAGCUAAAACAUCUUCCUAGAACCAUCACUCCAUACCCCGACUCGAUCCUGCUAUGUUCUCACCUCCUGAGAAGAAAAAUGGAACAAAAAGGAAAAGGGUGAGCUCAACUAGCCCAGUAAAGAAUAUUAUGACUAAGAUAAUAUACAACAAAUUAUCGUUAGUCUUCAACAGGGAAAAAUCUAAUAGAAUACAAUAGACAACAAGUUUUAGAUCAACAAAUGCAGCGGAAACAGCAAUCCAUUAGAAGAGUCACGUAGAGAAAGAAUUCUACUGUCUUCUAAGGUUUAAAAGUCCAUCAUCAAUAGUUUAUCCCUGUAAUAACAAUCAAUAUACAUCUUUAAUCAUCUUUGCACUACAGGCCAAAGAUAUUCAUUUGUAUCACCAGUUGGUCAUGUUCAUCUCAACACCUGUUCAUCUUUGCACUACAGGCCAAAGAUAUUCAUCAGUUAAUCGUUCAUCUUUGCACUACAGGCCAAAGAUAUUCAUUUAUAUCACCAUUUAGGACUGAGGAUGAUGAAAAACAUUUUUAAAGAAACGAAUCCAGUGAAACAAAAUGACAAGGAUUAAGGAUUAAGGAUUCGUACUUUGUUUUACCCAUGUCCAAAAAUACUUCGAAAAUAAUCAUAUUGGUGUAAAAUUCAAGAAUGAUCAAAACAUGGAUACAAUCAAAGCUAGUAUCCAGAAUAGAUAUUUUGGACAAAAAGAAAAAUUUUUAUUUUUCGGUGAAUAGUGCCGUAUUCGUGAAUAGUGUCGUAUACGUGAAUAGUGCCGUAUACGUGAAUAGUAACCCCGACACAACAAGUUCCAAAUUUGAUAAAAAAGUUCACCAAUACUUCGGCAUAAUGAUAUUGAAGAAAAAAUAUCAUUUAAGAAGAAAAUAAUACCCCUUACCUCAAAAUAACCGUACUUCUGACUGAAUUUCGGUAUAGUGCUGACAGAAACCCGCACCGUAUAGCAACACUCAAAGUAUACUCACAAGAAUACGCUCGAUAAUUUAGAGAGAGAAAGAGAGAAAACUUAGUUUCUGGUGUGAUUUUCAAUUCUAACUUAGCCCUCUAUUUAUAGGAAAAUGUUAGAACGCCAAAGGAGACUAAAUUAAUAAAUUAUUAUUAUUUAAAAUUACAUUUCUACGCAUGCCAUUUGAACACUUCAGCCACCAGCCAACCUUGACCCAAUUUCCAGCAGCCCACAUGUUCAAACAAGAGUGGGUCCCACCCAUUAUUUAAUAAAAAUUAUUUUAUCUUCCGAAACUUCAAUAAUUCGUAGAAAAUAGCUCGUUUAUCAGAAAAAUUCGAAACUCGCGACUUUCCAUGGGAAAUUCCAUUCUCUACAACUUUGCAGAAGAAAAUUUUUCCAAAUUCCAAACAGAAAUUGACCGAAAUCCAUAAACGGGCGAUUUUACAGUCUAUAAUCAAUUUUCGGUCAAGAAUUGUGUCCACCGACACACAAAACAUAUGUUAAACAUUUAAUGCCACAAAAUACUCUACCUCCUCAUAUACUCAUAUAUCCCACAUUCAUUAUAAAAAUAUCACCGUUAAUAUAUUAUUAAAAUAAUAUAUUUAAAUGAAUUAUUUUAUCAGAAAAAGAUAAAAUAUUAAUUUUCAACAAUUGUCACAUUAAAAAUUUUCUCCAUCUAUAUCCACAUAAAAUAAAUAUUUUCUUUAUCAUAAUAAUCAAUAAUUAAUUAUUUAAAAAUAAUAUUACAGAAUCACAGUACUGACAACCAGGCCGUUCCCAGGAAAGAGGGGGCUUUCCAAUAAGGAUUUCUCCUUACUGGCGCGCAAUUAGGUGACCAAACCUCUCCUUAGACAGAACUUUCUAGACAUUGCCAAUAAUGUUAUCUGAUAAUAUUAUUCAAAUAAUAUGAAUUAUUGAUUUGAUAAUGGAAAAUACUGUGUAAUGACAAUUAUUGAAACAACAGCAAUACAAAAUAUCAACGCAGCAAUUAUUGAAUCAAUAAAAUAUAAUAUUGAACAGUAACUACUGUAACAAUUAUUGAGUAGUGCCUUCUUACGUAAGGAUCAAUAAUUCAAUAAUACUGUGCAAUACCGUGUGCUACUGUGCAACCACGCGUAUUACUGUAUUUUAACCACCAGGUAACCCAACAGUGUUAACGGUAACAAUUUACGCCGUUAUUUAUAAAACUCAAUCUUUGUCGUUUUCCUUCAUCCAACCGUUUUCCGUUAUGGGGCCCACCAAUGACUGCGCCGUCGUACGGAGAUUCCCGACAAAAAGAAUAUUCCACGACCAAACGAAUAUUCCCCGACAAUAAUGAAUAUUUUAUAACCACUUGCUUAUUUUAUAAACUUUGCACAUUUCACCCAUAACCAAAGAAUUAUAUCAAAUUAACCCUUAUUAAUUUAGAAUAAUGAAUAAAGAAAAAUUCAAUUUUAUUUAUAAUAAGUUGGGGUCUUACAGAUGACAAUUUUAACAACUUGGAAGUCGGGGAUGUAGUUGACAAACUACUUACAGAGUGGAAGACGGAGAAGUUAGAGGGACUGACGAACAACAACGAAGUCUACGAGAGCCAAGUUUAUCAUGGAGAAUACCUUGUAACAGUUAUGGAUCCACAUUAUGAAAAUAUUUUCUUAACAAAACAAGUGAAUGUGAGUUCUGAUCACGAUGAUCCACAAAAUGUUUUGAUUUCCAUAUAAUCUAUCUACAAAUUUAUUUAAGUUAGUUACCCUAAUUAAAGAUUAAUUAAUGGCGCCCCGACCAAUAUUAAUUCUUUUAUCCAUUGAGAAGUACAUGCAUGUACAAAAUGAUAUAUACAUUAUACUAGACAGACAACAUGCAUAUAGACAAAUCUUAUACCUUACCACCUUUUAUGGGAAUUGAUUGAGUUUGUAAACUUUGAGUUCUAUGUUUUGUAGUGGUGAUAAUUAAUCAAGUUUGAAACCUAGCUACUUAUGGAUAAACUUUGUAGUUUAUAAAGUUUUAAGAUCAAUAUUCUGACUUGUUUAUAGACAAAUCUAAUCUAGCUCUUGAAAUAUAGAACAUUCUUGAUCCUUCUUUUUACUAGGUUUCAAAUUUCAAAUUUAUAUUAUUUAUUUAAAUUUUGAAAGUAAAUAAUCUUAUAAUUAGUAGUUCAUUUAGGUAAUUUAUAAUAUUUAUAAUUGUAUUGAUAUAAAUUAAAUGAAUUUAUGUCAAUUUAAAAUUGACUUUAAAAAUUAAUAAAUUUUUUAUUAUAAUUUAGAAUUGAGUGAGUACUAAAGUUUACGUAAAUAUAUAGACAUAGUUUUGAAUAUAAAAUUUAAAAGUAAAAUUAAUAUUAUUAAAAAAAUUAAUUUUUUAAUAAUAUCAAACAUAAAAUUAAUGUUAAAAAGAGAAUAUAAAAAGAAAUAAGGGAGGGGUAACAUAAAUAUAAAUAUAUACUAAUACUUUUACACAAAAUUGAAAAAGAAAAAUACUCUUCUAUAUAAAUUAGUCGCGUAAAAUUUUAUAAAACAUUGGUGUUCAAUUUUCAAGUCCGCGUACGAUCGUUAGUCGCGUCUGUUUCUUGUGAACUCCCUGAAAACUAGUCGAUCAAUUCAGAUCUGAAAAAAACUGCCAUCAAUGGCGACACCAACACCACGCGAAGAGAAUGUGUACAUGGCCAAACUCGCCGAGCAAGCUGAACGUUAUGAGGAAAUGGAAGAAUUCAUGGAGAAGGUCUCCGCCUCCGUCACCGAAUCCGACGAGCUCUCCGUGGAGGAGCGCAACCUCCUCUCCGUCGCCUCAAGAACGUGAUCGGCGCUCGCCGCGCCUCCUGGAGGAUCAUUUCGUCGAUCGAGCAGAAGGAGGAGUCUCGCGGCACACGUGGCGAUUAUCAAAGAGUACAGAAGGAAGAUUGAAUCGGAGCUUUCGUCCAUAUGCGACGGGAUUCUGAAGCUUUUGGGUACCAAAUUGGUUCCGGCUGCUUCCGCCGGGGACUCGAAGGUCUUUUAUUUGAAGAUGAAAGGAGAUUAUCAUAGGUACUUAGCGGAGUUUAAGACUGCUGCUGAUAGGAAGGAGGCUGCUGAAAAUACUCUUACUGCCUAUAAGGCAGCUCAGGUAAAAUUUUACUGCUUAGAACUUUGUUACAAAAUAUUAAUUUGCCUAAUGCUACGCGUGUUUUUGUAAAGAUGCAUUCUUUUUAUUGGAUUGUUAGAUUGACUUAUGUUUGCUGGUUACAAUCUUUGAUGUUUUGUGUUAAUUUUGGUUCGUGUUUUUCUUUGUUUUAGAUUUUUUUUCUCCUGUGGAUUGGUGCGGAUUUGUUUAAUUAAGUCUGAAUUUUGGUGAAUUAAUAAUCAAAACUUUAGUUUGUGGUUCAGUGAGCCCACUUGUUUUUAUCAGUUUUCGUGCAAUUUUAUGCUAGUAAUGUAUGUUAAUGAUAAUUGAUAAGGGCAAGUGUUAAACUUUGAAUCCUUAGUUCUAUUUGUUUGUUUAGAUGUUGGGCUUUUGAACCUUGAUUCAAUCUUGGCCAGUAUUUUGGUUAGGCUUCAUGUAUCUGCAUGUGAUUAAGCUUAUUAUAUAUACAAGUUUAUCGUAUUAUUCUGUGCCUCUAAUUAAAUGUGAAGAGUUAAUUUAUGGCUUAAGGUUUCAAGUUUUAUGUUGGAUUUGGUAUCAUGUAUUUUUAGUGUUGAUUCAUCUUUCGAUCAUACAAAUACUUAUUUUAUAAAAUUGUAUAUUUCAAAAUGAAUAUGCAACUGUUUUAAGAAAGUUUUUUAUGUUCCCAUUUAUGGAUAGUUCACGACAAUUGUUUACCUAUUUUUAAUUUGCGACCAACUUGCAUACACGGAAUAGGUAGGAAUGAGAAGAGAGGCCCACAACAUAAUUAUCUUGUUAACAAUGUUUAUAAUGUUUACCAAUAAUAAAAAGACACGUGAGUGGAUAUGCAAGUCAACGAAUUUUCAGUCGACUAGACAUAUAUAUCAUUUUCCUUACAAAUAUAACGAUAUGAAUAUGUAGCUUUAAGAGUUAAAUUAGGAAUAAUGUGUACACCUUUUUAAAUUAGUAUUGCUUUUUAACUUAAAAUUAUGGAUUGUUAAUUUAUAAUUUUGUUCUGCUAAUAUGUGGUUGUAGGAUAUAGCAAAUGCAGAAUUACCUUCUACACAUCCAAUCCGACUUGGACUGGCUCUCAACUUCUCUGUGUUCUACUAUGAGAUUCUGAAUUCUCCUGAUCGAGCAUGUAACCUUGCAAAACAGGUGGAUACUACAUACUCCUUUGUUUCCCAAAAAGAGUCGCUUGCAAAAUUUACAAACAUUAGGAUAUAUUUUUGUUCCAUGUUUACCCGUAAUAGGUUGUUACUUGUUAGUUUAGUAGUGAUGACAUGGUAAUGAGUUUAUGAUCUCAAACCUGAGAACACUAUGUAAUAAACAGAUUACUCAUUUUGUGGAAUAAAUUCUCCCCUCCCCCCAAAUGGAUCUAGCCUUUAUAAUUUAGAUUUCUUUUGAAUCUUACUUCAAAUGACUCAACUUUUUGGAGAUUGUUUUUGUAUCGUCUCUUCAUUGUGCUUGCGCAUGUACGUGUGUGCGCGCGCACGCGUGUACAUUGCUUACUGCACUUGUCAAGUCCUGGUAUGUAUGUAUAACAUCAUAUCCUUGGGUUUAGAGAGCCAAAUAUUUUUUAUGCCUUUGUUAAGUCUUUGUACUUAAUUGUUGAUAUGGUGACAUCUUCAGCAGUCAACAAGUUCAUAAUAAGAUAACAUGUAAAUGAGGACUUGUGAUGUAAUCUCAUCCUUGAGCUUCAUCUAUUGCUGAGAGUUUUCUAUUGGUCUUAUCGGUUUAUGCCAGGCUUUUGAUGAAGCCAUUGCAGAGCUAGAUACACUCGGAGAGGAUUCAUACAAGGAUAGCACUCUGAUAAUGCAACUUCUUCGGGACAAUUUGACUUUGUGGACGUCAGAUAUGCAGGUUUCACUUCAACUUUCUUUUAUGAUUAGAUUUACAGAACUUAAGGCUUUCUUCAAUGGUGUAUAAUCCACUGAUAUUGCUGGCUUAUAGGACGAUGCGGGGGAUGAAAUCAAAGAAGCACCCAAGAAGGAGGAUGAACAGCAGUGAAGUUGAUUAUUUUUAUGAUAGUAUCAUGCUUCUUCUUUUGCUGUUUUUGAUUGAAGAAAUUGCAUGGUUCGGAUUCCUUUUUCAAGUUUAUUAUGGGAUUUCCUGAUUUAUAAACCUUGAAUGUAACCACUCUCUUGGUUUCCCAAUUUUAUUUUCAUAAGAUUUUACAGUUUCACUUAUAAAUAAUCUUACUGUAUUUAUUUGUGGGUCGUAUGUAUGUAAAGCCUAAUAAAGGCAUGGUGGUGAAGAAUUGAGCAUAAUGAGAUUGGUCUGGUAGGAAUGACGAGGGUACAUAUCGCUCAUUUCUUGUUUUGGGAAAUAGAAAAGAUAGAAUUGAAGUUAUGGAGAAAAUUAAAUGGUCUGUCGAGUAAAAAUCUUUUCUUUCCUAGUUAGUCGCAUAAUUAACUUUCUUUUCCUUUUUCCUAAUGUCAAUUAGUUUUCAUUCCUCCAAAAAUAAAAAUAAAAGUAAAUUCUUCAAGUGAGCUUUCUUUAAUUAAAGCUAAUAGUUUUCCCCUUUGUAGUAUGUAAAUUUCAGGUUAAAAUUUCUUUAAUUAAACAUGUCUUCUUCAUUCUGGAUCUUUCCUUUUACCUACAAUCUAAUCUACCCAUGUAUAACAAGCUGACAUUAAUAUUCAUAGACCACCAUGCUUCCUUACCCAAACUUAUCGGAUAGUUCACCGAUUGUCUGUUCCGAUUAAUAGUUUUUGUUAUAUACUAUACGUACGAUUAUAAUGAUUGUAUCAAUUAAAAUUAAAUAAAUUCGUCUUUUGAUUUAAAAGUCAAAUUGUAUUUCUAAUUUUAAAAUUAGGAAGUAUGAAAGUAAUUUUUUGAAGAUGUUAAAAAUACAUAAUUAUAUUAUCAAUGAAUGGAUUCUUUACUAUGUAUUAUAUUUUAUGAGUAAAAGCUAAAAUACUAUUUUUAUAAAUCAUUUUAUUAAUUUCACCAAGUUUAACUAAAAAUACUUUCUUAUAAAAACAACACUCCUUUUUAUUUAUUUAUAAAUUAUAAAAGUUAAAUAUUUAAAUUUCAGAAACUAAAAAUGACUCAUUGACUGAUGUUGUUUGAGAUCUCUGUCUGAUUGAUUUCGCGCCCAAACCAAAACCCAUUUUUAAUCCUCUUGUCUCAUGAAUUCCUCUCGAUCUAUCAGCGGCUAUGGAUGAGAUGGAUGAGAAGGUUUUAGGGCAAGACUUGGCAAAGUUCCUAAAGGAAUACCACUCCGAUCAGAUUUCCUCUAUCCUUCUAUCUCCGGAUUCUCGUCUUCAUUAUCCUCUCCAUGUCGAGUAAGUACGCCUAAACUUUGUACAAUCCAUUUCUCUCUCUCUCUCUCUCUCUCUAUAUAUAUAUAUAUAUAUAUAUAUAUAUAUAUAUAUAUUAGCGAUUUAGUAUAUUUUGGCACAAACUUAAGAGUAAAUUUUUAUUCCAUUUAUGUAUGCAACUAUAUAAAUUUGUGUAUUUUCAGUUUUGCAGAGUUACUGGAUUUCAAGCCAGACGUUGCUCACCUCCUUUUCAAUCAACCUACUAAGAUCUUAACGAAGUUUGAUGAAGCAGCUAUGCGGGUUCAGGUAUUGCAUUUUUUUGAAGUAUAUAUCAUGGUAGCAUUUUAGUUGUUCACUGGAUGAUGUAAUGGGUCUUUUAUGUAUCUAUGUUGUUUAUGUAAUCAACCAUAACCAUGCUUUUAACAAGUCAAAAGAGUUGUCUAAUAAAUGGUAUUAUCAGAAAGGAAAAUUAGAAAUCGUGAUGGUUUUGUUUUGAGGGAUUAGCGAAAUGCUGCCUUUGUAAUAUCUUUGUAAACUCUUCUUGGAGUAAGUUGAUGUCUCAUGUUAUGGGGCAUACAGAGGAUCAUUUUGCCUGAGGAAUUGAAAUUCAAGGGCCAGGAAAAUGCAAGCUUGAAGGAAUAUGUGCAUGUUCGGAUUAAUAUUAGUGGUUCUCCUCUUGAAUUCCCUGGUUGGAUUUUCUCUUUCUUUCUUUUCAUGCUUCUGAUUCUAUUAAGCUUGGAAAUAUACUUUUUGUUUUUGUUUAGCUGAUGUGUCUUCUGUCUGUUCAGAAACAUUUCCUAGCAUUGGUCGUGUGAGAGUGAAACAUCGUGGGAUUCUUCUCACUGUCAAGGGAACUGUUAUCAGGUCUGGAGCAAUAAAGAUGAUGGAAGGGGAGAGAGUGUACGAGUGUCGAAGAUGUAAACACAGGUGGAUAUUGUGCUCUUAUGUCUAAAUGUACUUAUAUAAAUUAUUGUCCAGGGCUUUGUAUGAUUCUUGUGUUUAUGUGUUGAAUCAUGAAAAAAGACUAUUUAAAGCAAAACUGUUCAUAUAUUGUUCUUCAGUAACGAAAUUACUCAUUUGGGAUGUCGUAGCACUUCAAAAUUUGUCUGAAAAUGUAACUAAUCAAAAAAAUAGUAACAAGUGCUUGUAGGAUGGAUCUCUGAGGACUAUUUAAGUAAUCUUAACUAACCUCUAUGUUACGGAUCAAGAUCCUAGCCUAGUUAAAAUGGGUAUCGGGUAAGAAUGGAGGGUUAGGAUUUAGUGUUAAGAAUGAAUGGUUUAGAUGCAUUCUCAUGUUAUAUUGUAUUUUCUUUAUUUUAAAUAGCUGAAUGUGAGUCAUUAGAAGGUAUCAAUGAAAUGAAUUUAAAACUUCUUCUCUAGUUCUCUCUCUUUCUCCCUGCGAUUUCUAUCGAAGUCUACCCGAUAAUAUAAUUCGAAAGGUACACAAUCUAGAGAAGUUUUCAAUUGCGGAGAUACGAAACGAGAAAUCACUGAGUCAUAACAAUACUGGAGAUUCAAGAAUUGGAGUGGGAGCACAAGGAAUUUGUUUUGAAUUACUUUGUGUAUCAUCAGCAAUCCACCACAAUUGCUGAAUAUGAGAGGUCAUUUUUGGAACUUAAGCGAUGGGCAGAGACUUGGAGUGAAGAGAAUUUUGAUGAACAGUGGGUUGUCGACCGAUUUGUUGUCGGGUUGAAGGAAGAAAUCAGAUCCAAUGUGGAAAGGAGUUAUCCAAGAUCAUUAAAUCUAGAAACCAAUUCUGCAAAGUGGCAAGAGAUGUACCCUGCACAUAAGAUGUUUGACAAAAUUGUUGAACCAGAAUUGGGUCAUAAACGUCAACCAACUGACAAAGGGAUCGAUGAUAAUCAACAAACUGGUGACCUUAUUGUGUUACAAAUCCAGACUCCGCUUAGGUCUUCCGCAUAUGAGGCUCUAGGAACAGAGCUCUUUGGGCUCGUUCAAAACACACAAGAGACUGAUUUUGUGAUUAAAAAUGUGCACGGCUUCAAUUGUAAUUUUGUACCAAUCAACCAGAAUUUGCUUAUAGAUGGUGUUGCUUUUGCUGGAGAGCUUAAUGGUGGUGAUCAACUGUAUAAAUUUGUAGAGCAAGAUGACUACAAUAUUGAACUCAAAAGUCAAACCAAUGGAAAUCUGUCUAGGGAAGUGAUCCAAGAAACUAGAGCUAAAUUUGAAAAUGAAAAGGAAGCCCCAAACACUGAGACAACGGAACGAGAGCCAAACAUGAAGCUUAAUUUCAUUUUCUCUCUUCCACUAAUUUCCUUUGACCAUGUCUAUAUCUUUGCUUCUACUAUCUCCUCUGCAUUUGGUUGUUUUGGAUAUUGGUUAAUGGUCUUUGAUGAAAUAACCAAAAGAAAUGAGUACUCUUGGAAAUUUGAAUUGAAGGAAGAUGGUUUGUACUGAGGUGAAAGAGGAAAAACUGAGAUCACUGAAUUUCUUUUUAGCCAUUUUUAGAAAUUAUUUUUGCUGAAUUAUGAUGGUUAUCACUCAAAAAUUAUUAGCCAAGCUAAAAAAACACAACUGCAAACACAAGCUGAAUGUGAAAAUCUUGUUGUUAUGAGCAAUAUUAAGGAAAGGUUAAGGCAUAACUACCAGCUUGAUCAAUAUGCUCCUAUAUAUGUGCCUAAAGCUUCAAUUAUUGAUAAUAACAAAGUGAAACUAGAUGGUGAUUGUGAAAUAGGGAAGCUUGAAAAGACUAAAUUUCGAAGCCAUUUCAUGAAAUCAUAUCUGCCGAAUAAUGGCAGUUGUUCAGCUUUGUUGUAUUCACAAAAAAAGAAGAAAAUAUUACUGAAAUUGGGUAGCACUAAUGGAGCUUUCCAGGUAACCUAUGCAUGGGUAUUACGAAUUUCAAUGAAUACAUAUGGGCUGAUUUUGUUCUCAUCUAUACAUGCUCCUUUUCAUCCAACUUUUAGUUUCAAAUAUGUUAUCUUGAAGCUGGUCUCAAAGUGUAGUUCCACAGAAGGAAAAUCUUGGGAUGCAUUGAAGCAUACAUUGGGCUGCAUUUGUGUUCAAGCAUUUGGGUCCUUGCCACAAAUCGAAGCCAUGAUUGUUGGGAAGGACACACAUGUCAUAAAGUUGGUGCAGCGACAGAGAUCAAUAAUUUAUUGGUGACAAUACUUUACUCGGAUCCAUGGUGCAUGCUUUGUCUUUUCACCAUGGACAUCAUUUCAUUCUGUAAGAGGUAUUAUACAAACAAAGAGGUUCAAGUCAUUAAAGGAACAAUAGUUGUUGGAGUUUCCAGUGGUGUUAAUAAUGGAUAGAUCACAUAGAUCACAGACGUAUACUUUCGGGAUGACAGUGUUCCGAUAGUCGUCAUGAUGGUUGUUAGUAUUGAAAGUAGGCAACUUAUGGAACUAUUCAAGGUACAUGUUAGAGAACAACAACAUGGAAUGUUGCAGCUGGUUGCUAUUAGCAAGCAGGUUAAUAAUCACAUCUCAUUUUAUGCCUUCUCUGGUGGUAUUAUUAGUCUCCAAUUUCUAUCUUCAAACUAUGCUCUGUUUUGUGUAUUGUGCAAUUUUUCAUGGGAAUCUUAAAUGGGUGCAUUAACAGCCCCAUUAGAGUGGACAUAUGGGAAAAUAGUAGCCCUCUCCGUAUUUUGGUUGGGACUACUAAUUUCUUAGACCCAAAAAUUUUGGACGCCUUAAAAAGUGAAAUAAAUUGGCCUAUGUUAUUUUUGAGGAUAAGCAUGAAGGGCAUACAAGUGUUUGUGUGAUUGGCAAGUGUGGAGCUGUGGGUGAUUCUAAAAAGGAUAGGCUUAAGAGAAAUGCAGAGGCAUGGAAUUCGAUGAUUUUAAGUUAUGUUCACAAAGGUAACGGAGGAGGCUGGGAGAUUAUAAUAACACAUGUAUUUUGGUCUAGACAUGAGCCAUCUCUUGGCUUUGGGGAACAUUGUUUUGAAAGGAGGUAUUAUCUAGUUUGGUUCAUCGCAUUGGUACAACAAACUAGCCUUUAUGUUCAUCUUCUGAUUGACUCCUAUGUUUGUGCUAAGUGGACCUUUAGGGGAAUUGCUGGUUUGCUGAUGAAAUAUGUAACCAACAUAGUUUUUAGAAGAGACAAUCAGCUUUCGGAGUUGGUCAUUCUAGGAGAACACUUCCUCCUUGAGGACAAGGUGAAUUUUGAAUGGCGGAGUAUUUUUACUGAUCAAGAUGCUAGCCUAGUUAAAAUGGGUAUUAGGUAAGAAUGGAGGGUUAGGAUUUAGUGUUAAGAAUGAAUGGCUUAUAUGCAUUCUCAUGCUAUCUUGUAUUUCCUUUAUUUUAAAUAGUUGAAUGUGAGUCAUUAGGAGGUAUCAAUGAAAUGAAUUAAAAACAUCUUCUCUAGUCUAUCUUUCUUUCUCUCUCCCUGCAAUUUCUAUCAAAGUCUACCCGAUACUAUAAAUUGGUAACACUAUACUUGAAUAUCAUAGGCAAAAGAAUACUAUAUAAGAAUCUUACAGGAGUAGGUGCGGCAUUAACUUACUCCAGAACAAGCUGUUAGACAUUUUUGUGUUUUAACAUUCGAGAGUUUAAAUUGACCUAUUGACAGUAACAAACUCAUGAUGGGUUAAUCUGUAUGCAUUUUCUGUUAUUUUUGUUCAGAUAUUAAGUACUCAUUUUUCCCAAGUUAGUGUUGCACAACAGGCCGGCCUGGUCCGGUCUGGCCUGGGUCUGCCAGGCUUUGGUCGUUGACCAGGCCAGGCCAGGCCAUGCCUUGACUUUUGGGCCUUCAGGCCAGGCCAGGCCGGAUUUAUCCAACAAAAUUGUGGCCGAAGAGGUCUGUAGGCCAGACUAGGCCAGGCCUUGGGCCAGGCCAAGGCUGGUUUGGUUUGGCCCGGAACAUUUUUUUUAAUUGUGCAUGUGGCUGGGUGAGGCCUGGGGCAAUGAGGUUUGGCUGUCUGGCGAGUGGCGACUUAAUAGUUAAUGUUAUAGACUUAUAGUCCAUAGAAGAAAUUUAGAAUAAUAGCAUACUAGAGGAAUGUUAUUAUUUUAUUUUAUUUUGCCUUAUUGUCCAAUCUAUCAAAUCAUCAUCCCUUCAAGAUUUCAAUUUCCAAAGAUUCAAUACUUCAAUCCACCAUCAUGGCAUAAAUAAAUUAGAAUAUUAAAUGUAAUAGAUUUAUAGACUUGGUAGUUGGUACACUCUACAGAUUCAUUGGAAAAUAAUAAUACUCUUGAUUCCAUCCGAAAAAUGAAAUGUGCCACUGAUGUGCAGUUGUGCACCAACAUGUCCACCUCUUCAUCAAAAAAGAAACAACUCACAAUUAUUAGUGUAUUUAAUAUUCUACCUAUUAGUGUAUUUAAUUAAUUAUUUAUGUAAUUAUGUCUAUAAAUAUUAAAUAUUAAUAAACCUUUAAUCAACUAACUUAUUAAUAUUAAAUAUUAAUAAACUAACUACUAUAUUAAUAUUAAAAUUUAAUCAACUAACUUAUUAAGUUAUUAAUACUCCCUCCGUCCCAGGAUAAAAGUCCUGGUGGACUUUUCACGCAUAUUAAGAAGAGGAAUAAAAUGACAAAAUUGUCCAUAAUAAUGUCAUUAAAUAUGGAGAGAGAAUUAGAAUAAGAAAAGUAUGAGAUACUCCCUCCGUCCCAAAUUAAUUGCUCAGUUUUGACUUUUUUAAGUCAAAUUGACUAUUUUUAGAAUUAAUAAUUAAGCAUAUAUAAAUAUAUUUCUAAAAUUAUAAAAAUUGGGAUUAGUAAUAAAUUGUAUAUACUUUCUUUUGGUUAUAAUAUCUUCACCUAUAUUUUAGCAAAAAUAGUAAAAAGAUUAGUUUUAAAAAUGGUCAAUUUGACUUUAAAAAGUCAAAACUGAGCAAUUAAUUUGGGACGGAGGGAGUAUUUAAUGUUACGGGCAUAAUAGGAAAAAAUGUGUAAAAGUUUGGUUAUUAAAAGAAAGUGGACAUUUAACAUGGGACAACCUAAAAUAGUAAUAAAGACUUUUAUCCUGGGACGGAGGGAGUAUUAAAUAAACUAACUAAUAUAUUAAUUAAAUAUACUUACAAGAAAUCAAGAAUGAAUAAUUAAACUUUAAACUUGAUUCAUGUAUUAAUUAAAAGUAAUAUAUUACAAUUUACAACUUAGAAGUUACUACUUACAUAUUACAAUAAUGAAUAACAAAAUAAGUAAUAACAAAAUAAGUAGUAAUAUAUGGACUGAUGGACUGCAGUAUAUUAGGCCUGCAAAGGCUAGCAUUCUACUAUUCUAGCAAGUAGCCACUAGGUUGUUAGCAGUCAGCCUAUGAGCCUACCAAUUGCCAUCUUGUCAUUGUUGUAGGCUUGUAGCCGUUGGAGUUUGCCAGGUCCAGCCGUCCAGCAAGCAGAUGCCAGUUUAAGGACUUGGGCCUUGGGGCUUGUCGGCCUGGGCGCCUAUAGUAAAAGAGUCAGGCCAGGCUUUAGGCCGAUUCAGGGCGAAGGCUAGGCCAGUUUGGGCUUUUUAGAAGGCUAGGCCAGGCCAAAUAUUUGUCAAAAAAUCCUGGUCUGUUUACAGCCUAGCAGGCCGGGCCUGUCCGGGCUUUGACCAGGCCUGACUCAGGCCAGACCAAGGCCAGGUCGCAGGCCAUUUGUGCACCACUAUCCCAAGUUAAGUGUCAUGUUUCAAAAUGAUGUAAGUGACACGGAUUUUCUAAAGUGCCAACAUCACAUUUAGGUAGAAUAUUUAGUACACCUCUUUUCAAAUUUGCAUGUUAGUUGCUUAAAAAUGAUUCAUAAAAAACCGCAUUACUCGAGUGAUCUCUAAAUGUGUUGUCUGAAUGUCUUAAAAUUUGUGGUGAAAUCGUGAUUUUCUAAAUUUGUUUUCUGGUGGUAUUAUUGAUGCUUAUAUUUCGAGAGUACAUUGAUUAUUGCUUGUACUGUAACUUACUGGAAGAUGUAAAAUGUAAUGUAUUUGAAUUUUGAUGAUUAAACACAAAGUAAGAUUCUUAGCUCCUCACCUUCAUAUUGCGCUAUGUUUACGAGUAGGUUCAAAGUUUCUCCUGAGCUGGAAACCAGAAAUUCAAUACCCAAGCCAACAUCUUGUCCCUCCCAGGUUUACUUCUAUACUCUAUCCAAAAUUUAUACACGGCAUUGUUUGCAAAGUUGAAGGUUAAAUAGACAAUGUAGAAGAGCAAUUAUGAAAUAAAUUUUCAGUAUUUGUGCGACCUUGUUUAAUAUUCAUAGAUUCCGUAGCUUAAUCUUUCAAAAUUACACUUUAAUCCCCUGUCACCUUAUAAUCUGAAUAUGAGACUUGGAGGCCAGA